UAUGUUAUAAAGUUUCUCAAGGAAAAUGGACUGCUAGAUGGUGACCUGAGCUUCUUUACUGCGGUCAAGAUGACUGAGAAGGUAUUUAUGGAGAAACUCAUAUCCCCUCACAAGGAAGCUGCACCACACCUUGCUGAAGACUAUGCAACAGCUUGCAAAGGGGAAGUGCCAACUAAUUUCAUAUUUAGAUGGACCAGGAACAGGCUAUGAAAAUCCGUAACCUGUGUAUGGUGCAAGAAAUUUUUCACUCUGUGUAGUAAGUUGGUAACUCCUGCCUUGGUGUUUAGGCCUAACUGGAUGUUCACUAUCUUUUCCAGUGUGUUUGUUACUUGCCAGUUUGCUCAUUGCUAACUCUUGAUGUAACUAGUAAUAAAUUGAUUUCUGAACCCCGAUAUGCUGUUGUUGUCAUUCCUUAGAGAAGAUCCUUCAAAAUAUCAGUCUGGUCUGCUUUUAUGGCAAUUUUUAUCUAGCAUGUUCCCUUUUGAUUUCAUUGUAUUUUCAGUUGCAUCAUAUUUCAGUUAGUACUAAGUUUGUGGUUCAAUGUUCAGUAUUUGGAUUAUUCUUACAAAUAUUAUGACAGUUAGUACUAAAGUUUGUAGUUCAAUGUUAAGUAUUUACAUUAUGCUUAGAUAUAUAUAUUUCUAAUUGAUGUCGGUUCUUUUUUAACCUUUUGUUUUCUUCCUCCUUAUUCAUUCCUAAAUACCACAGUUGACCUUUCUUUAGUUUGGAAAUUCUCAAAUUUCUACAUAUGAAUCAGUCUUAUCAUUUGCACCCCUCAUUAAUUGUCAGAAUAAACCAAUUGAGGUGCCAUGUAUAACAAGCAAAUCCAAUGAAGUUUGAACUAACACUUGUUCUUGUGGACAUAUGAAGAAGAAAAGGCUAUGAGAUUUUCCCACUACAACCUACUGCUUGCACUGAGGGCAAACGUUUUUUUCUUCAUAUCUGUCUACAAUUCAGUGAAAUCGUAGAUUUAUGAAUAUAGUUUGCAACAAAAUUCAUCCCAGUUUUCUGCCUUGAAACGACACUGAGACCUUCGAUCUGUUGUCCAUCCUAACAUAAAAAGUUGCGAAUUGUUUUCUUUAGCAAGGACUAAGAUUUCAGAGUUGCUCGACUAGUACUUGUCUUGCAACCAAAUUAGUGUCGCAACAUGUCCACGAGUCAGUGCCCUGGGCACUUGGAAUCCUUGGUGUUUAGUGAUGUAUGUAUCUGUUCUGAUGGUGUUUAAUGAGAAGCAGGGAUAACUCACCGUGCUACUCUUACCAUGACAUUAUAUGCAAACAUUUUUCCUGUUGAAACACGUGAAAGAUCACAACCAUAUCGAUCUGAAAAAGAAGAGAAAAAAAUGGGAAAUAGUAUAUAUUCAGUAAAAACAAAAUAUUAGUUCAUGAAUUAGUAAAGGUUAUACCUCGGUGAUGAAGUGCACAUCAGCACGGUGACUCCAACUCGCUUGUCAGCCAUUGGAUGUAGUGCGCCUCUGUUCUUUUGCUUGUGCAGAGCGUCAGCAGAUCUGGGCUGCUAUUGCAAUUUUUUGUUCUGCGCAGUGACUUGAACUGAGGUGAGUUAACUUGCUUUUCCUGAAUUUCAUGAUCCNNNNNNNNNNNNNNNNNNNNNNNNNNNNNNNNNNNNNNNNNNNNNNNNNNNNNNNNNNNNNNNNNNNNNNNNNNNNNNNNNNNNNNNNNNNNNNNNNNNNNNNNNNNNNNNNNNNNNNNNNNNNNNNNNNNNNNNNNNNNNNNNNNNNNNNNNNNNNNNNNNNNNNNNNNNNNNNNNNNNNNNNNNNNNNNNNNNNNNNNNNNNNNNNNNNNNNNNNNNNNNNNNNNNNNNNNNNNNNNNNNNNNNNNNNNNNNNNNNNNNNNNNNNNNNNNNNNNNNNNNNNNNNNNNNNNNNNNNNNNNNNNNNNNNNNNNNNNNNNNNNNNNNNNNNNNNNNNNNNNNNNNNNNNNNNNNNNNNNNNNNNNNNNNNNNNNNNNCACUAGGAGGGAUGUACAUGCUUGUGUUGGUCAGUGCUUUAUAUUUACGUGGGGACAAAUGCAUUGGAUAUUUUGUUCAAAUAGGAGGGAUAUAUCUAAUCAUAUUGCCAUUUUCUUGCUGUUUUAGUUGCUGCCACAGUGAAGUCGCUGCAUAGGUAAUGGUCACAUCAGAUUUGAAGAGGAUAGUUUUUCUAUUUGCAUGAUCUUACUUGGAUGUAGUAGAUGUGAAGCUCAGCUCUAGCGUACACUCUGCUGUCGGUAUUUAGAAAAAUGUAAUACCUAUUUCCUAAGAUGCACCGCCCUGAACAUUUUUAGGAGAAUGGCUGCUGUUGAUAAAACCCCAAGAUGAUAGGUGCACUGUUCUGGAUUUUUAGGAUAUCAGCUAUCCUAUGUAUCUUUGAGUUGCUAAUUUCAAAUUAAUAGAAUUCAACAUCUUUAUCCCCAUUUGCAUUCUUGUUCGAGUUGCGUCUGAUUAACCAUGUGUUCCACUUAUGUAAUCAUAUCCGGUCCCUGCUCUCUGUUUCUGUAUCCAUGUGCUCCACCACAAUGGUAACCAUCAGGCCUCGCCGGCAAAUCUUGAGCGUUGUCAAUGGUUUUUGUUCUGAUUGGAGACGAGUGAUAAGGAUUGUGACGACGGGAGUUUUUGGCAGGAAAUUUGCUUGGAUCUCUGGCAACACGAUCCAUAAAUUGAUUGACUCUGCCCAACUUGAGCUGCUGUGCUGUGUUUGUGAAUCACGGACGAUGGAAAAUAGAAGAUGACGGGUGUGGUGAAGAAUUCGAAGGGAUCUCUGAAGCACAGGUCUGAGUUCCUGUUCUCUAAGGUGGGGGUGGAACCCGUGUACAUUGCUUAUCGAUCGGAAAUACUUUCUUAUAGCAUGGUGGACCGACUCAGACCUGGGAACUAUGUUAUCAAGUUUCUCAAUCAAAAUGGACUGCUAGAUCGUGACUUGAGCUUAUAUUCUGCAGUCAAGAUGACUGAGAAGGUAUUUGUGGAGAAGCUCAUAUGUCCUCACAAGGAAGCCGCACCACACCUCGCUGAAGAUUAUGCAGCAGCUUGCAAAGGGGAAGUACCAACUAAUUUCAGAUUUACAUGAACAAAGAAGGGCUAUGGAAAUUGGUUACAGCCUAUGGCACAACAAAGUUAUCACCCUGUCUGUAAGCUGGUACUUCCUGUUUCGGUGUUCUUUCCCUAAGAUGAUGUUGGUUGUUUACUGUAGUAUGCCUGUUACAUGCUAGUUAGUCAUUGCUAAGUGCUAACUCCUUAUGAAACUGAAAAUUUGAUUCCUGAACCCCCAUAUGUUGAUGUUGUCAUUUCUUAGAGAAGAUCUCUGUAAAUGAGAAGUCCAUGGAUAUAUAUUUGAUUCCGACUUCCAUUGAAGAUGAUGCAAAUUGGAUGCGUGGGUGGAUCAAUUUUGUAUUGAAACCACUACCCACGAAACCAGAAAGCAAAAGAGUAAUGAUGUGUUGUUUUCCACCGAAAUGUAUCACCCUGCUGUCCGGAUUCAUAAUUUUUUCUUAAAAAAGUUUUACUUGAGCAAAAUUAAUGGUUAAGAUGCUAGAUUUUUUCGCUGGUAUUAGACUUGUGUUUUACUCAUAAGUUCCAGCUAACUAUCUCGAAUAAAGGAAGACUGACCUAAUUAGACUGACCUAAUUAGUCGCCAAAGACCCGCGGCUCCUAUGCGCCAAAGUGGACAAAACCCUGGCCCCCGUCGUCGCCGGGCUCACCGGCCUCGGCCUGUCUAGUCCUGAGAUUGGCCAACUGGUCUCGCUUGCCCGCACCCGCUUUCGCUGCAGAGCCGUCGUCUCCAGGCUGCAGUACUACCUGCCACUCUUCGGCUCAUUCGACAACUUACUCCGGCUGCUCAAGCGCGAAUCCAACCUUCUCUCGAUCGACCUUGACAAGGUGGUCAAGCCCAAUGUCGUGUUCCUGAGGGAGUGCGGGCUAGGUGAUUGUGAUAUUGCCAAGCUGAGUAUCCGUGUGCCUAGGAUGCUCAUCACCAACCCGGAGCGCGUCCGGGCGAUGGUCGCACGUGCCGAAACAUUAGGUGUGCCCCGCUGCUCUGGGAUGCUCAGGGAAGUGCUACAGGCUGUCGCGUUUCUCAGCAAGGAGAAGAUUGCCGCCAAAGUGGACUACUUGAAGAAUACCUUCAGGUGGUCUGAUGCCGAAGCUUGCAUUGCUGUGCGCAAGUAUCCGAGUGUGUUGAAGAAGUCAAAGGAAUCUCUGAAGCGCAGGUCUGAGUUCCUGAUCUCUGAGGUGGGGCUGGAACCUGUGUCCAUUGCUCAUCGACCAGUAGUUCUCAGUCUUAGCCUGGAGGGCCGGCUCAGACCCCGGUACUAUGUUAUAAAGUUUCUCAAGGAAAAUGGACUGCUAGAUCGUGACCCGAGCUUCUUUACUGCGGUCAAUAUCUCUGAGAAGGUAUUUAUGGAGAAAAUCAUAUCCCCUCACAAGGAAGCUGCACCACACCUUGCUGAAGACUAUGCAACAGCUUGCAAAGGAGAAGUGCCAACUAAUUUCAGAUUCAUGUGAACAAAAAAAUGGCUAUGGAAAUUGGUUACAGUGUAUUGCGCAACAAAGUUAUCACCCUGUAAGCUUGUACUUUGUGUUUCGGUGUUCUUUGCAUAACAUGCUGUUGCCUGUUGCUAAAUGCUAACUCCCUAUGAAACUGGUAAUUUGAUUCCUGAACCUCUAUUUGUUGAUGUUGUCAUUCCUUAGAGAAGAUCUCUGUAAAUGAGAAGUUCCUGGAUAUAUUUGUGUUUCCAACUUCCAUGAAAGAUCAUGAAAAUUGGAUGUGGUGGCUGAACCAAUUUUAUGAUGAACCCAGCAUUCACGAAACCAGAAACGAAAUGAGUAAUGUGGUGUCGUUUCCCAUGAAAAUGUAUCAGUAUGAUCUGCUUCCAUGCCAAAAUUUAUUUACCAUGCAUGUUCAUUCACAUUUCUUUGUCUUUUAGGUUCCACCGUAUAUGUCAAUGAGUACUAACAUUGUUUUCUAUUUAGGUUAGACUUACAGACACCAAGACCUUCUACUGGUUGUCCAUUCUAUAACCUAAAGAGUGGCAAAUUAUUGUGAUUUGUGAUGUAUAUGUGUUCUGGCUGUGUUCAUUGAGCAACAGGGGUAACAAUCCCAGCUGCUGUUUCCAUGCCAUUAUAUACAAACAUUUUUCCUGUUUGAACUCAUGAAAGAUCACAGUCAUUUAGAUCUGAAAAAGAAGAGAAAAUUGCAUCAACUACUUGUAUUGUUUAAAAGCUGCAAACUGCAGCUGAUGACCGACAAGAUGAGAAAUAGUAUAUAUUCAGUGAACACAGAGUAUAUACCUAGGUGAUGAAUAGUAUAAAUUCAGAUAAGAUGGGCAUCAGUACGAAAAAAUCACCCUGCUGUUAAGAUUCAUAAACUUUUCUUAAAAGAGUUUUACUUGAGCAAAAUUAUUAGUUAAGAUAGCUUGAUACUCCCUCUGUCCCAAAUAAGUGUCUCUAAAGUUGAGACACUUAUUUUGGGACAGAGGGAGUAUUUUUAACGGGGAUCAGAAUCAUGUUUAUGCAGAAGUUACAACUAACUAUCUCUCAAGUAAAAGAAAAACAAGUUAGUCUGAUUUAAAUUUUUUGUUGCACUGAAGCAUAAUAUGGUGAUUCUGAAUUACCACAUUAAGCAUGAGUAUAUUUUUCUGACUUUGAAAUGAUGGAUGCUGCAAGUGGUUUGAGGUUUCUAAUGAUCAGUUCAGACUAUUAAACAUUAGUUUCUGUUUGAAGAAGUGGGUGUUUCGAUUGAUGCGUCAGGUCAAAAUUGCAUAUGUGAUUUUGGUUAGCAUUGCAAUGACCACUUUUCUUGGAACACAAAAGUAAGUUAUUAUUAUAUACUAGCACCCCACGAUUCUGUUGUAUAUAAAUUCAGUUUUGUGUUCUGGUUACACAUUUGUUUAGGUACAGACCUGUCCCUCUGCCUGGUGCUAUUAGGUGUGCCCUUUCAGAAACCAGCAUUGUGUUGCACAGCUGUUUAUGUUUGUAUAGUUUAUAACUUCCAGUUACAAAGAUUUAAGUAUCUACAUGUUGCAAAAGAAAAGAGUAUCCACAUCCAGUAGUAUCUAACAUUUAAAUUCAGUUCUUUCUCCAUACUGAUUCACAUCCAGUAUUCAGCUUGUUUCUUACAGCUAGUUCUGCUUUAGUUAUCAACCCCAUCCCUUGGAAGAAAGAAGGUAGCACCAAAGAUUGCAGUUAAUAACUUAAAAUUGUAUCUUCAGUUCACUCUGUUCACUUAAUAUUUCUGUCACGGCUACUACAAACUUCGACCAUGGUAUGUUAUAUGAAAUUAAAAAAAUGGAAACUAUGAAAGAAUGUUGCAAAAGUUUUUUGACGAGCGAUUGCAUGCUCCCUCAGCGGAAGCAGCAAAGCUCGGGGCAUUCUAAGGCAUCAUCACCUGGCACAUUGGCACUGAUGUUUUCCUUGCCAGAAGCAGUUGAGCCAAGGUGGAUGAUGCAGCCCAGGAACAAGUGGUGAAGACCAUUCAUUGAGCGGCCCUAUGCUACCUGGCCGGGCCUCCUUAUGACAAAAAGAUUACUGGAUCUGGCACAUGAUUGCUUCCCCUUGCGCAGUAGUUCGAUUUAUGGUUAAGGUAGCUUGACUUUUUUUCACUGGGAUUAGACUCAUUUUUACUCAGAAGUUCCAGCUAACUAUCUCUCAAGUAAAAGAAAAAAGAACCUUAUUAGUCUGAUCUAAUUUUGCUGCUGCACUGAAGCCUAAUACGGUGACGCUGAAUUACCAUAUUUUCCUUACUUUGGAAGGAUGGACGACUGCAGAUGGGUUGAGUUUUGUAAUGUUCAGUUCUGACUAUUAAAUAUUCAUUUUUGACUGAAGAAGUAGGUGUUUCGAUUGAUGUGUCAUAUAUAUAUAUAUAUAUAUAUAUAUAUAUAUAUAUAUAUAUGAUUAAGGUGAGUGGUGUGUUUCUCAGGUUUACAUUGCAAUGACCACUGUUCCUAGAAACACGAACUGAAUUUAUGAUUAUACACUAGGCCCGUGUGAUUCAGUUUUAUAUAAAUUCAGUUUCUGUUUUGGUACACAUUUCUUUCGGCGCAGACCUGUCCCUCUGUCUGGUUAGUAUGAGGUGCGCCCUUUCAGAAACCAGCAUUGUAUUGUGCCACAACUGUUUAUGUUUAUAUAGUGUUUCUAACUUCCAGCUACAAUGAUUUAAGUAUUCACAUGUUGCAAAAGAAAAGAUUAUCCACGUCCAGUAUCUGACAUAUAAAUUCAGUUCUUUUCUCCACCCUGAUUCAUAUCCAGUAAUCAGCUUGUUUCUUACAGCUAGCUCUGCUUUAGCUAUAUUUUAUUGCAGUUAAUAAUGCAUCUACAGUCCCUUCUAUGUUAUAUGAAACAAAAACAUGGAUAAUGUGAAAACAUGUUUCAUGACAAAUUUAGUGAGCAAUUGCAGGUCUUAGCAAAAGCAGAACCCAAGCGAUGAAAACCGAAGGAUAAAGAAGUUCGGAAGGGGAGGAAACCACAGCCCAGGAGGAGAACCCAAACUCAUAGAAAUAGAGCUAGCCAUAUUCUGAGGGCUCAGAGGGCUCUGUCCCGGCUGGUGUCAUUGAACGCCUGGUACCUAGCCAGAUUCCUUGCCUCCUCCACCGGUGUCGGUCCGAUGCGCCACCCCAUCUUGGGCACGAGGAGGGUCACCGCCGACAACCUUGCCACCGCGGAGUUGGUGACCAUAUCCACAUGGUGAUCGACCCUUGCCAGCACUCUACUGCUAUUGGUGAUAAGCUCCAUGACUCCAUCUGGUGCCGAAGUUGAUGACAGACACAUCGGGUAUUGCGGGACGAUGAGCCACCUUCUAUCAUGCGAUGUCACCCUGGCAUUGGGAGAGCAUGGUGACGAGGUGGCGGUCGUAGCGUGGGAAGAAGCCAAGCGUGGCGGUUGGGGUCUGAGCAUGGAGGGUCACCCCCAACGGUGGUGAGCCAGAGCGGUGUCUGACAAAAACAAAGUGCGUGAGUGUACCUGUAAGAAGCCGAACUCCAUGCCAGCCUGGAUAACAUGGCUGAAUGGUCUCAUCUAAUUAUGUUUCUCCAAAUCAUGGUUGAACGAAUUAUGUGUUGUCAAUUCUAUUUUUUUCCCAUGUUCAGAUUCAAGGAGUGAUUUGGGAAGUAUCAGUAUUCAGUGAUGGGCAUCUUCAGAUACGUGGACAUGGGCAGUGAGCUCAUGCUCUCCUUCCACUAAGAAAGGCAUGUAGCCUCAAGCUCGGCUUACUCUUUGAUUUUUUUUUUUGUGAGAACUGCUCCUCUUUCAACCUGGUGGAUUUGAUAUUUGUUACUCCCUCCGUUCCAAAAUAUAGGAGAUAUAGUUUUUGGCACGGAAAUUAAAGAACAUAUGUGGAGGGAAAAUUUCACAAGUUUUGGGCGAGAUUGCACCUAACUAAUUAACAUGAGAAAAUAGAGGAGCUUGCAUAAUAUCAGGAAAUGUAAUCAAAUCCCUAAAAAAAUUAUCCAAACGAGAGUGGUGGAACGCAAUACACCUUAUAUUUCAGAUUUUUUUUUUCAAAAAUCUAUACACCUUAUAUCAAGGAACGGAGGGAGUAUAAAAAAUCCAUGUACUGUUUUGCUUCUUCCAUAUACUGAUACUUCCCAAAUCACUCCAGCCUUAACUUAAAUAAACAUAAUUUAGUGUCGAAAUUUGAAGCCAAGCUCCAGCCUACUGAAAUGGUAGUGAGAUUCACUGAUCCUUCACAUACCAUGCAUAUUUCUUGGUUUCUUAAAAAAAUAGCAUUCUGUAUAAGCUAAUACUGAUGGACAAAUUUUUAUUGGAUCAGUGACUUGAUUGCUUUUAUUUAGGUCCGAGCCUCCUUGUGUAGUAGAGCGUUACAGCUAUUUAGACACAGGUUUUUUUUUUUGAGUUGUAAUGCCUAAGAUGCAUACUGCCUGAAUCCUUUUAGGACAAUGGCUGCUGUUGGUAUUUCUAGUGCCUACUACAAAAUCAUACACACACAGUUGUGAGUUUUUUUUCAUGAUAUCAGCUGUUGUCUAUAUCUUUUUAGUGGCUGUUUUCAAAUGGAAAAUCAAGGUUGUUGUAUGCUCAUAAGCAGCCUGCAGGUACUAAUUAAUCCCCUUUUUUUUCCUCUGCCUGAGAAGUUAAGAUGAUUUUUUUUGAACUUUGAAUUGGGAGCUAUGUACGUCCCCACGGAUCCUUCUCGUCUUCCACGUGAUUCGAGUCGCCUCUCUCCGUCAGGUACGAACUCGAUCCGCCUCCCCGCAGGAUGAUUCUCUGUUGAUUUCUUUUCCUGUCGCGUCGAUCCGGGCGGAUCUGGGACGGAAUCAGCCGCACCUGAUGCUUGGUCGUUUCAUCGAUUUGAUCCUGUUCGCCCCCGCUCUGUUUGCUUGAUGAUCCAUUCGAUUGGGGAUAAGCAAAGGGGUUCGGGGAUUGAUGAUUUGUUGGGAAGUUAGCCUCUGCUGCUGCAUCUUAGUUGAUCUGAUCUGGAUUUGCAGUUUGAGGUAGGGGUCCAUAAUGUGCGGGCAUCUAGCGAGCUUGUAAGCUUAUGUAGAACUGCUUGGGUAGAUCCAACUAUUCUGUGGUAGUUGCUGGUAUGUAUGGUAAAUUAACCCGAUUAGCUUGCUGUGUAUGAAUAUUUAAGCCGCUUUCUUUCAAUCUGUUCGUUCUGAGCUUUGCAUCACUGGUGUGUGUUCCUUCCAGAUCCUGCACGGACCUCCUCCCUGUCAGGCCCCUCUUGCCGCCCGUCGACACGACCUUCGAUCUUGUUGUGUUGAUCAUGGGUAAGUGGCAAUGCAUUAUAAUGUUGUCAUUGGAUUUCUCUUUUGGGCUUUUAUUUAUCUUUUGAUGUACAAUGUCUACAACUACCCAAAAAAUUAAGCUAUGUGUGACGUGAUUCAGAACUAAGCAUGGUCUAAUGUUUUUAGGGCAAUGACAGGGACCAUUCCAUUUGAAGAGGCUCAUGCUGCCCGGAUUUCGUUAAGCAAGCCAUCUAUGUCCCAAAGUUGAGGACCGUUUGGAGAAGAGGCCACCCAGGUAACCUUAUCCAAGCUCAAACAUUAAUUUAAUCACUAUUUAGUUGUUGUACUUGCGUUCCUAGAUGGAUCUUUUGAGAUUCCACAACUUUGAUAUUCUUACUUGGGAUCAUUUGAUAUGUGCCGUUGAAAAUAACAGAACGGAUCGUUCCUAGAUGAAUUCUUAGCUGAUUUCACUGGGCUUUCUCCCUUUACGCCAAUAUGAAAUAUAUUAGCUGCAGUAUAUAGUCUAGGUUCAUUUUAAUGCGACUAAAUAAGAUAAAAAUACUACCUGCUUAUACCACUCGAGUAUCCACCGUUAGGACGUUAUGUUCCCUGCGACCACAACAUAACCUUUUUGACUUAUUAUCCCUAAAAAAAGCUGACUCUUUUUCACAAGCUGAAAAGACAAUCUGAUCUGCUACAUUUGGUCUGAAAUUUUCUUCUUGUGUGUCCACAUGAUAAAGAGGAUGCCUUUGAUCAAUUGUAAACCACUUAUUUUUCUAGGAUAUAUAGAUUUCUUGAAUUACCCACAAUAUACUUUUAUGUCAUCUAAUAUAUGUCUCCCAGACAAUUUAAACAGAUGCCAAGGAUAUGAUUAGGCGCACAUAUACAAGUAUCUUUAUGACGACACCUGCACCAGUUUUCAUCGUUGUUGUUCUUGCCUGUUGCCUCCCCCCNNNNNNNNNNNNNNNNNNNNNNNNNNNNNNNNNNNNNNNNNNNNNNNNNNNNNNNNNNNNNNNNNNNNNNNNNNNNNNNNNNNNNNNNNNNNNNNNNNNNNNNNNNNNNNNNNNNNNNNNNNNNNNNNNNNNNNNNNNNNNNNNNNNNNNNNNNNNNNNNNNNNNNNNNNNNNNNNNNNNNNNNNNNNNNNNNNNNNNNNNNNNNNNNNNNNNNNNNNNNNNNNNNNNNNNNNNNNNNNNNNNNNNNNNNNNNNNNNNNNNNNNNNNNNNNNNNNNNNNNNNNAGAGACCCCUCUCCUUUCCUUCCAGUUUGUUGGGUUUUGCUUUGUGCCAUCAUUUGAGUGGUCGAUAGGCGCAGAAAGAAAGGGAGGACAGAGUACUUCUCUCCUAAGUUAGUUUUAUAUUUAUUUGUCUGAAUUUUAGUUUAAAUAACACGACACCCAAUGGCAUACAUGACAAUUUCAACUGUUUUUGGGGGCAAAUGACAAUUAUAGUAAAUUAAAAUGACCCCAUUAGUCAUAUCUAUUAUCUCUUUAUGGGUUUAUAUUUCUACGUACUGCCACAAAAAUAUUAAUUGUUUUGCAUAUAUCGGUUGAGUUUAAUUCAGCUUUAGGAAUCAGGACACCCUCGCUCGGUUGGCUCCCACGAGCCGACGAGUGAUUCACAGCUGCGCCGCCGCCCACCUUUGCCCCUCGCCGCGCGCGACGGGGCUUCCGCCUUGUCCGGCAAGCGGCAUCUCAGGACUUGGCCACUAGGUGCGCCUGCGCUUCCUCCUCGCCUGACAGGUGGCGUUCAGGGAUGUGGCCACUGGGUAGGCUGUGAUGCUGGCGUGGUGGUUGCAUGGCAGCGGGGCUGGGCGUGGUCGUCUGAUUCUUGUGGUGGGAGGUUUCGAUGGCUCCUUAAAUCUAGCGUGACAGCGGCCAUGAGCAGUGCGAGCGGUGGGUCCUCUCAUCAUUCGCGUGGGGAUGGUUGCGGGAUCACAGUGGCUCUGUCGGCGGUUAGCGUUCGUCAUUCGGGUGGGGAUGGAGGUGGCGUCCUCCCUUCUCCUGGGUCUGAGCCGGCAGCGCACGGGCUGCACGCGCAGCAACGGUGGACAGCCACCUAGGCAUUUGAAACUGCAGAAAUGAGAUGAUAUUUUUCAGUGAUUUAUUACUCCUUCAUUUGCCCUGAAUUAUACCGUUGGUUUGUCACAAGUCUUCCCUUCCAUCCCUUCUUCCACAGAUUGCAGGUUUCAUCCUGAACAUCCUAAUGAGCAAAUCACAAGACGGCUGAAUGAUCUCAUCUAAUUAUAUUUUUCCAAAUCAUGGUUGAACGAAUUAUGUGUUGCCAGUCCCAUUUUUUCCCAUGAUUUGGGGUAUCGGUGUUAGUGUUCAGUGAUGAGCCACUGCAGUUGUAUUGCACCCAUUCCAUCUCCAGAUACGUGUACAUGAGCCAGCGAAGUGAGAUCAUGCUCUCCGUCCACUAAGAAGGGCAUGUAGCCUCAAACUCGGCUUACUCUUUGAUUGUUUUUUUUUCCUUAGGAUUGCUCCUCCUUUUACCUGCUGGAUUAGUAAGAAAUCCAGGUAUUUUAACAGGAUUUAAUUUUUCUUCUUUUAUUUAUUGGUUAAUUUUUAUUGGUAUAUUCAUAGCAGAAGUAGCCAAGAUGGCCAAUACAACGCCUUUCGGUGAAGUGCUACACCAAGAAGUUAACACUCACCUCCACCAAGACAACACCGGACACAACUCGCCUGCACGAACUCAAGCCAAACAAUGACGAAGAGAACGAACACAGAGCACACAAGCCGAGUCCCAACCGAACCGAGCAUCUCACGGCACGACAAAAACACCAAAGCAAACUGGAUCAAUGCACUCUCCACUCAUGGCGCCUAGGAGGUUGGCAGGCGGACAGCAGGAGCUAGCCUAGCUCGAUGAAGACGCCAUAGAUGAGGCGUCGAUGAUGAAGUACAUAGCACCCCGUAUGCUCAUGGCAGUAGCAACAACCAACCCAAGACAAACCCCAAGCCUCACCGUCACCUACACCAGUUACUCCUCCAGAAGACAUCCCUGAUCACCCAGGCAACACCUUCAAGAAGGGGACGACGCCGUGACGUCGCCACUGCCUAGCCCGACGAAAAUCAUCAAUGCAGUUUUCCAUAUCAUAGGACAUCUCUCUCAUGUGGUUCCUCCAAUUCUUGGCUGUGGGAUCGAGCUUAUCCAUGAGCUCCAUCUUGUCAAGCAGAGCUUUCAUGGCGUUGAGCUCAUCCCUGAGGAAGGAGGCCUGCUUCUUCACCGGCGUGAGCUGCUUGUACUCCUCGCCAAGCGGCUUGGUGAGUUCCCCGAGCAGAGGGCUCAACACUCCCGUUGUUUCACUCAUUGCCAUGUUGGUUUGUAGUUUGUACUGCUCCUUUGCCUCCGGCGCCUCUUUGGAACGAGAGAGAUGAAGUGGGUGGGCUAGCCGAGAAACUCGACACAGGAGGCUCACGCCAGCCGCUAUUGUCGUAGCCUCCCAGAAACUUCCCUCCAGAAUUCCUCGUCACCAAACCUGGAGAGCAAGGUGAGGUCGACGCGACCGUGACGUUCCUGGCUGCCGGCGCCGUCGUUGCGGGCAGGGGAGAGAUGGAGAAGAGGCUCGGAAGAGAGGGAAGGGAAGGCUCGUUGGUGCGGUGUACUGUUGGGUGGGGGUGGGUUUGGGCGGAGAGAAGCUCAGCAGAGACUGAACGGGAGAAUGGGAUUGAGACAGACGGGGAGAAGGACUUAGAUGAACAGCAAAAUCCAAAAAAAUAGUAAACUAACUCAAAAAAUUCUGAUUUUUCUGUCAACAAACAUUGACGAUUUUUCUACACACAUGCAAAUUUUCGAUUGGAAUCACAUUUGUGGAUGCGUCAGCAAAAGAAACAAAAUCAAUGCUUCCAAAAAACAUUUUUUUAGCAUCAAUUUUAAUUUUUUUACGGCACCUCCACAAAUUUGAUUUCAUCAUGAAAAUUUACACGCAUAUAGAAAAACGUCAAUAUUUAUUAACAAAAAAAUUCAGAUUUUUUUAAGUCGAAUUAUACUGUUCACCCAGGAGCAUGUGAGCUCGAGCUCACAUACUACAUGUUGGGUAUUUUUGCAAAUAUAAGGCGAUUCCAUUUCAACUCAUUGAGAGUAGAGAGCCGUGCGUGUAACAGUGAGUGUGAGAUUUUUCCUUAGAGCAACUCUAAUGCGCCGACGCAAACAGUCUGUGCGUGUUUGUUUAGGUCGAAUCGGACGCAAAAUGAGCGGGCGCAAAUGGACCAGCGUCUGCAUUUUGUCAACGCGUGACCCAUUUCAGGCCUAAAUUUGGGUCGGGUUUGCAUCGACGCGGACACACAGCAGACCCGUAUGAUGCCCGCCUCUUGUCCUCCCCUUGGCCUGCCAGUCGGUGGCACAUUGGCCAUUCCGCUUUCCUCUAUCGACAACCACCACACUCGGUCGGCCCCCUCGCCUCCGCUGCCAAAGCUGUCGGGGAGGGCAAUGUUGAGAUCAAUGACCAUACUAUAACAAAAGAUACUACCUAGCUGAUGAUAUCUAUCCUCAGUGGACUACUUUUGUGAAAAUAAUCCCCAACCCGAUAGGAGACACUAGUAGAAAACGGGGCAAAGGUCACAGGGCAGUUUUCACAUUAGCCCCGGUUCAGUCACGAACCGGGACUAAUGUGAGCAUUGGUCCCGGUUCGUGAGCCCAGGGGGCCGGCCGGGGCCUCGUGGGCAUUGGUCCCGGUUCGUAUGGACCCUUUGGUCCCGGUUGGUGGUACAAACCGGGACCAAUGGGCCACGCUCCUGGCCCACCACCCUUUAGUCCCGGUUCAUACCACAAACCGGGACUAAAGGGCUGGUCCUAGUUGCGGCCAGUGUUUAGUCCCACCUCGCCAACCGAAGGGGACUCACACCAGUUUAUAAGCCCGUCCCUCUCUGCCUUUUAAAGUGAAAAUAGAUGCCCUUAUACAGGGAAUUUGACCUAAAUUCAUAGUAAAUUUCAUAAAAAUUUAUUAUGAAUUUAGGUUGAAUUUUCUCUAUAAGCGCAUCUAUUUUCAUUUUUUUUAUUUACAAAAUAAAUAAACCUUAAUAAAAUAAAUAAAACUAAAUAAACCUUAAUAAAAUAAAAUAAAAUAAACUAUAGUAACUACAAUAAAUAAACCUUAAUAAAUUAAGUAAAAAUAGCAGCAGUAAAAUAAAUAAAAAUAGCAGCAGUAAAAUAAAUAAAAAUAAAAUGCGUCUGGAAGAGAUUGUCCGUUUUGUACACGAAGUGCAUCCAGUUUAUGCCGUAACCCUCUCAACUUUCUUGCACAUGCUAUGUGGAUGAAAUGAUGAUAUCAUGCCAACUUUCAACCUUUUCAGAGUUCAUUUGAAAUGCAUUUCAAUUUUAGGGUCUUAUAGCUCAAAAUAAUUAGUAAAUGCAUGAAAAAUAACAAAUGAAGUCAGAAAGGAUUGAAAAAUGAUGAUGUGGCUUUGAAUGGUGCAUUUUGAACACACAAAAAGUCAGGAGUUCAAAUAAGUUUUAAAAAAUGAAAUCCCUUUGUAACAGACGAGUUUCCGGAUGAAAUCCUGAUACUUUGAAAGAGAUUGUCCGUUUUGUACACGAAGUGCAUCCAGUUUAUGCCGUAACCCUGUCAACUUUCUUGCACAUGCUAUGUGGAUGAAAUGAUGAUAUCAUGCCAACUUUCAACCUUUUCAGAGUUCAUUUGAAAUGCUUUUCAAUUUUAGGGUCUUAUAGCUCAAAAUAAUUAGUAAAUGCAUGAAAAAUAACCAAAUGAAGUCAGAAAGGAUUGACAAAUGAUGAUGUGGCUUUGAAUGGUGCAUUUUGAACACAUAAAAAGUCAGGAGUUCACAUAAGUUUUAAAAAAUGAAAUCCCUUUGUAACAGACGAGUUUCCGGAUGAAAUCCUGAUACUUUGAAAGAGAUUGUCCGUUUUGUACACGAAGUGCAUCCAGUUUAUGCCGUAACCCUCUCAACUUUCUUGCACAUGCUAUGUGGAUGAAAUGAUGAUAUCAUGCCAACUUUCAACCUUUUCAGAGUUCAUUUGAAAUGCUUUUCAAUUUUAGGGUCUUAUAGCUCAAAAUAGUUAGUAAAUGCAUGAAAAAUAACAAAUGAAGUCAGAAAGGAUUGAAAAAUGAUGAUGUGGCUUUGAAUGGUGCAUUUUGAACACACACAAAGUCAGGAGUUCAAAUAAGUUUUAAAAAAUGAAAUCCCUUUGUAACAGACGAGUUUCCGGAUGAAAUCCUGAUACUUUGAAAGAGAUUGUCCGUUUUGUACACGAAGUGCAUCCAGUUUAUGCCGUAACCCUCUCAACUUUCUUGCACAUGCUAUGUGGAUGAAAUGAUGAUAUCAUGCCAAUUUUCAACCUUUUCAGAGUUCAUUUGAAAUGCUUUUCAAUUUUAGGGUCUUAUAGCUCAAAAUAAUUAGUAAAUGCAUGAAAAAUAACAAAUGAAGUCAGAAAGGAUUGACAAAGGAUAAUGUGGCUUUGAAUGGUGCAUUUUGAACACACAAAAAGUCAGGAGUUCAAAUAAGUUUUAAAAAAUGUAAUCCCUUUGUAACAGACGAGUUUCCGGAUAAAAUCCUGAUACUUUGAAAGAGAUUGUCCGUUUUGUAACAUGCCAUUGGUGGCACGAACCGGGACCAAUUCCACCCUUUGGUCCCUGUUGGUGCCACGAACCGGUACUAAUGAGGCUGUGGCCCCACGAGCACCUUUAGUACCUGUUCGUGGCAUGAACCAGUACUAGAGUUUCUUACUAGCUAAGCAGUUUUUUAGUCCCACCUCGCUAGCUGAGAGGCACUAGGAGCGGUUUAUAAGCCCUGAGUGUAGAGACAAUGAAGAAGAGGCGCAAUGCUCACGUUGCUUAGCUUCAAGCCUUGAGGAAUAAGGUAGACUGCAUCGAGCUAUGUGCAGUGCAGUCUACACUAUUCCGAAAGGCUUGAAGCAAAUCAACGCGCAUUGCGCCUCUUUUUUAUUUUUAAUCAUUAAAAGCAAAAAGAAUUUUCAUAAAGAACUUUUUUUGAUAGAAACUUUAAUAGCAGAAAGAAUUAUCAUAAAGUAAAAUAACUAAGUAAUUAGAAACAAAAUAAAAUAAAAUAAAUAAGUUUUUUGUUGUAAGUAGAAAUAAAACAAAAUAAAUAUAGCAAAAAAAAUAAAAAAACUAAAUACAGCAAAAAGAAUUUUCAUAAAGAACUAAUGGCACUAAUAGAAAGUUUAUAUGUUUUCUAAAACUAAUGGCACUAACAGACAGUUUAUAAUUUUGCUGACCUAAAAGCAAAAAGAAUUAAAAAAUAAAGCAAAAAACAAAAGAAAAUAAAUAAUGCAAAAAAUUUAAAAAAUGCCACCUAUUGGGCCACCACGGCGUGAAUACGACUAGAAACCCAACCUGGGCCAGGAUUCAGGCCCGCAGAAGGCCCAAUAGGCCAACAGACAGCACAGUGUGACAUUAGGCCCAUAAGCCUGCAUUUGAGAGGAGCUCGAGAGGGCAGCCGCAGUGGAGCUUAUAAACCACUCCGAGCCCCUCUCAACUAGCGAGGUGGGACUAAAACUUUUGGCCGCGGGCAGCGCAAGGCCUUUGGUCCCGGUUGGUGGCACCAACCGGGACCAAUGCCCCCCUUUAGUCCCGGUUGGUGCCACCAACCGGGACCAAAGGCCUCUGCUUCCCGCCCUUUGCGCUGGUGAAAAGAGGCCUUUAGUCCCGGUUGGUGGCANNNNNNNNNNNNNNNNNNNNNNNNNNNNNNNNNNNNNNNNNNNNNNNNNNNNNNNNNNNNNNNNNNNNNNNNNNNNNNNNNNNNNNNNNNNNNNNNNNNNNNNNNNNNNNNNNNNNNNNNNNNNNNNNNNNNNNNNNNNNNNNNNNNNNNNNNNNNNNNNNNNNNNNNNNNNNNNNNNNNNNNNNNNNNNNNNNNNNNNNNNNNNNNNNNNNNNNNNNNNNNNNNNNNNNNNNNNNNNNNNNNNNNNNNNNNNNNNNNNNNNNNNNNNNNNNNNNNNNNNNNNNNNNNNNNNNNNNNNNNNNNNNNNNNNNNNNNNNNNNNNNNNNNNNNNNNNNNNNNNNNNNNNNNNNNNNNNNNNNNNNNNNNNNNNNNNNNNNNNNNNNNNNNNNNNNNNNNNNNNNNNNNNNNNNNNNNNNNNNNNNNNNNNNNNNNNNNNNNNNNNNNNNNNNNNNNNNNNNNNNNNNNNNNNNNNNNNNNNNNNNNNNNNNNNNNNNNNNNNNNNNNNNNNNNNNNNNNNNNNNNNNNAUAUGCAAAUGUUUGUAUGUUCAUAUGCAAAGAAUGUAUCAAUUUUUUCAUAGAAUUUUUAUGAUUUUUUCUGUUGUAAUUUUGUUCAUAGAAUUAUUAUGAUUUUUUUUGUUCAUAGAAAUUGUGUAUGAUCAAAGUCAUUUAUGUAUGUUCAUAUUUAGAAGAAAAAGAAGGAGAGAAAAAAAGAAAAUAAGAAGGAGAAGAAGAAGAGAAGAAGAGAAGAAGAGGAGAGGAAGUAGAGGAGAAAUAAAUAAGAAGAUGAAAAAGAAGAAAAAAAAAGAGUAGAAGAAGAAGAAAUAGAGGAGAAGAAGAAGAAAUAGAAUAAUAUAUUAUUCUAUUUUUUCUUCUUCUUCUCUAUUCCUUCUUCUUCUCCUCUUUUUUUCUUUUUUUUCUUCGAUCUCCUCCUCUAUUCCUUUCUUCUUCUCCUCUUUUUUUGCGUCUUCUUCCUCUUCUUAUUUUUUAUCGGGUAUGUCGUUGUCGAUAUAUGUACCCCCCUCCCCGAUAACUUUUAGUAAGUACUACCUAGAAAGUGUUUAAUAGAAUUAGUUAGAAAAAUAAUAGAACUAGUUAAACUAGCUAGUUUAUUUUUAGUAAGUACUACUUUAUUCUAUUUAUAGUAAGGAAAUUAAUAGAACUAGUUUGUUUUUUUAGUUAAAGCAAUUAUUCCCGCAUCGACGUCGACGAUGCCUAUCCCGCAUCCUCGUCGUCGACUCGGCGGAGGAGGCCGGCUUGAUCAGAGGGGCCAUGUCCGGGACUGGGCUCCGCCGGGCUGGUUUUGGGAGGUGCUACCUUCCGGUGGGCGUAGGUUGGUGAGGAACCAGCCCGUCGUUGAUCCGAUCCUUGUUUGGUGGCGCUCGCGUGGGCCAGUGACGGUGCCGAGGCUUCCGGACACCGCGGAGGAGGUACGUCACCGUGUCAGCGAGGAGGACCAGCACGUCCGUCGCUACAUGGUUGCGUUGGAGGGCAGGUUCGACAGUACCUGGCAGGUUCUUCAGGGAUCUCACUGGAGCUAUGAUCCUGUGAUGGUUCCGUCCCUUUGGGUGUCCACCGCCCGCGCCGAUGUCCGUCGGGCGCUACUGUUCUAGCUGUACUAGCGAUGCUAUAUGUAUGAUAGUAUUCGAGGUGUAUUAGUGAUAAUAUUCGGCGAUGUACGGACGCAUGGAGAUGAUGUAGUUUUGCUUAUAAUUGAAUGCAUCCUAAUUUGAAUACUACUUUAUUUUGUGAUUUGAUUUUGCUUAUUGAAUGCUCAAAGUGGAAAACUACUCCGAUCCUACUUUGAAUGCUAAAAUUGGAGAGCACUAUGAUUAGUUGAUAGCUUAUAGGGUUUUGUUUUCGCAGAAAUCUAGGAGCCCCCCGGCCCCUCCAUCAUCCCCGCCGUGGUCCCCGUCACCGCCCCCUCCGACAUCGAGGUGAGACCAGCCAAAUCCUCUUUUAGAAAGAUAAUUAAACGAUAUUUCGGGUUGACUGUAAGUCUGUCGAGUCUCCACCAUAUAUGAGAGGACGAAGAAUCCCGACUGUGUUGUCGUGGGGGUAGCUUCUCCUUCGUUCCCGUGUGCUAGACAAUUUGGUGUAAUGCACUCGAGAACGAAAGGAGGAGCUACCAUCACCGACGGUCGCAAAUGUCAGAGAGGAAUCAGUGAGGGAGAGUUCCACCAUAUAUAUAUGAGAGCACGAAGAAUCCCGACUGUUGUCGUGGGGGUCGCUUCUCCUUUGUUCCCGUGUGCUAGCUAGACAUUUUGGUGUAAUGCACACGGGGACAAAGGGAGGAGCGACCAUCACCAACGGUCGAAUGUAUACACCACGUGAGCUGAGAGUUUUCAAGAAAAGACUCGACAAACCGAUAGUCAACCCGUGAUGAAUAAUAAUGAUCUAACUUAGGUUUUUUAGUACAUAUAUUUAAUUGUAGAUGUUUAAUAUUUGAAUUAUAUAUGAACAUAGGAAAUGUCGUACUCGGACGACGAAAGUCUCUCGGGGGAGUGCGACUGGUGCCACGACGACCGAGGUCAGUGCGACAGGCCUCACCUGGACGAAGAUCGGCGCUUCAGUAUUAAGCUGGAGGAGACGUUCGAUGUUGAAACGGUACGCAACGACGACAAGUGUUAUUUUUUCGUAAUUAAGCACGACUUCAACUAUUUCAACGUGUACUUUUCAUCUUUUACAAUUCAGCUAGCUUAUCCCAUGCCAUGCAAGACGCUACGUCUUGGAGAGGAUGGGUUUUGAAGACCAUGAAAGUAUGGAAACAAAGAAAAUUCACCUAAGGACCCAUCAUGAUAUAGAUUUUGAAGUAAAGCUGUAUAAUUCUGAGAGCGUAACCCAUUUUGGUUGCAAAAAUUGGGAAGCAUUUUGCAAGAUGUAUGGUUUUGAUGAGGGUAUGCUUGUCACCAUGGAUCUUGGUGAUCCUGACAUCGAGCAAGACAAUAUGGACAUUUGGGUCCUUGUUGAUACGCCUCCAAUUCUACCGCUAUGUGAGUUUCUCAAACAUAGUUAUUAGCUAAUUUAUAUUGUUCAUUUCAAAAUAGUUGACAGCUUAUUUUCAUUGACAACUUAUUUUGAUUGUUCAAACAAUAUGCGGAACAUGAUAGACAGAACCUACUACACCGAUGGCUCUGAGUUAACUUAUAAGGAGAAAACUCAUCUGGUCGGAUUUUGUACUGAUAUUGAGAAUUACAAUAUCUACAAUCAAACUCCUCAUCAUUAUGGUCCUCCAUACGUGCCACUAGUGCACGUGGUGAACUACGGUAGCUACUAUGGAGAUACCCUGGUAAGAUUUCUUACUAUUACGACAUCCGUGCAUAUUUUGCAUAGUUCUAAAGCUAGUGCAUUAUCAUUGCUAACUAUGAAGUUAUUACUAUGUUUUUCAACAGAUAAUCCCAGAGGAUUGUGUGCCUCAUUUGAUGUAUCAGAAUGGUAGGCUUGAUGUUUUGAAUAUACAACCAGGUCAUCCUACGAAUCUCAACUGUCCAUACCGGAUUUCUAAAAGAAGUGGAGACAUGCAAAUCAAAGAAUGGAAAAAAUGUAUGGACAGUCGCAAGGAGCUUCUUGGAAGCAAAAGGAAGCGAGGCGCAAGAAUUGGAGACAGGAUGAUCUCCAUUCUCCAUAAUGGAGAGUCAGUGUCUAUAUUGUUUUAUGCUAUUUUACCUUAAAGAGGGUAUUUCGGUCCUACCUAAUACUGAUGAUCAUGUGCUAAGAACAAUUAAGUAGGGUUGGUUCGAUGACUGUGAGGAUGAUGAUCGAUCGUAUGACUUGUUAUUAAUAACGAGUAGAAGUUGUAUGAUGAUGAUUAGUAGGACUUGUUAUUAUAUAUGAUGAUGCAUGAUGCGUGCAUGAAGAGUUAUUAUAUAUCAGCGGGUGAAAUGAACAUGGAUUGGAUUGAAGUGAAGGCAACAUGCAUGUGGUGCGUGUCGAAAGUAGUACAAUCCAAACUUGAUCAAGUCCGGAUAAGUAUUAGUUUCGACAUGCACCACAUGUUGCCUUCACUUCAAUCUAAGCCAUGUUUAGGCAUAGCAGUACGUAGCGUUGGUAAACCAAGCACGGAGAUAUAAGAGAGGACACUUCUCUCUAAUAGCUACCUAAUAACAACCUAAAUUAACCCCCCAAAACCCCCAAACCCCCCCCNNNNNNNNNNNNNNNNNNNNNNNNNNNNNNNNNNNNNNNNNNNNNNNNNNNNNNNNNNNNNNNNNNNNNNNNNNNNNNNNNNNNNNNNNNNNNNNNNNNNNNNNNNNNNNNNNNNNNNNNNNNNNNNNNNNNNNNNNNNNNNNNNNNNNNNNNNNNNNNNNNNNNNNNNNNNNNNNNNNNNNNNNNNNNNNNNNNNNNNNNNNNNNNNNNNNNNNNNNNNNNNNNNNNNNNNNNNNNNNNNNNNNNNNNNNNNNNNNNNNNNNNNNNNNNNNNNNNNACCAACCGGGACCAAAGGCCCUCCUGCCUGGGCUCCCCGCACCGGCCACGUGGACGGCCUUUAGUCCCGGUUCGUGUAAGAACCGGGACUAAAGGGCUAGGGCAUUAGUAACGACCCUUUAGUCCCGGUUCCUGAACCGGGACUAAAGGCCCUUAUGAACCGGGGUAAAAGCCCCUUUUCCUACUAGUGAGAGAAGAGGAGAAGAUUUACCCAAGCACAAGAGAGUGCUCGAAAGGAUGUGGAGCAUGCUUUCGGUGUUCUUCAAUAUUGAUGGGGCAUUAUUCGGUAUCCUGCUAGAAUUUGGAGCACCAAGAAGUUAUGGGAGAUGAUGAUUGCUUGUGUGAUCAUUCACAACAUGAUCGUAGAGCAUGAGCAUGAGAACGAAAUCUACUCCUCUUUCGAGCACUCUCCCCGACAUGAUAGGAGAGAAGAAUGGGAUUGAGACAGACGGGGAGAAGGACUUAGAUGAACAGCAAAAUCCAAAAAAAUAGUAAACUAACUCAAAAAAUUCUGAUUUUUUUGUCAACAAACAUUGACGAUUUUUCUACACACAUGCAAAUUUUCGCAAUGGAAUCACAUUUGUGGAUGCUUCAGCAAAAGAAACAAAAUCAAUGCUCCAAAAUGCUUUAAAAACAUUUUUUGGAGCAUCGAUUUUGUUUUUUUAUGGCACCUCCACAAAUUUGAUUUUUAAAACUCACAUUCAACUGCAAGAUUGAAAAACAAAAUUGAAAAAUAAAUAUGUGAACUCAUCCUCCAGAAGCUCCAGUGCAUAGCGGACGGCUAAAGUGUGCGGAGAAUGUCAAGAGAGGGCGGGGUAGACCGAAUUUGACAUGGGAGGAGUCCGCUAAGAGAGACCUGAAGGAUUGGAGUAUCACCAAAGAGCUAGCUAUGGACAGGGGUGCGUAGAAGCUUGCUAUCCAUGUGCCAAAGCCAUGAGUUGGUUGUGAGAUCUUAUAGAUUUCACCUCUAGCCGACCCCAACUUGUUUGGGACUAAAUGCUUUGUUGUUGUUGUUGUUGUUGUUGUGAGUGAGCAUAGCCGAGCAACAAGCAGGCGAGCACAAAAGCAUGCAGCCGAGCGACGAGCGGCCGAGCACAGUCGAGCAGCCUAAUGGUCCGGCCCAAGUGUCGCGCCAGUUUCUCGACCAGCGCUAAGGGUGUGUUUGGUAGCAUGUAUGGACCUAGCCUAGUUGUUCUUCUUUCAUCCAUGCUGAGUGUAGACAUGCUGAGUCCAUGCAGUUGCUCUUGUUUGGCAGUGAUGUAUGAACUGAGACAUGCUGAGCUGAUACUUUGUUUGGCAGCCUGCAUUUGUUUAUACAUGCUGAACAAUUUUUUUUGAAAAUUUAAAAUUCUAAACAUAUUUUUAAAAAUUGAACAUAUUUGAAAUUAUGAUUUUUUUAGAAAAAAUAAUCAAAUUUUGAAUAUUUUAUAAAAAUUAAAACAAAAUUUGAAUUUUUGAAUAUUUUUUGAAAAAAUACAAAAAAUGUUUUUUUAAUUCUGGACAUUUUUUGAAAAUUUAAACAAAUUGAAUUGCUGAACUUUUUUUUUUGAAAAUUUACACAAUUUUGAAAUUCUAAACAUUAAAAAAAAUGAAAUUCUGGAUUUUCUUAAAAAUUUGAACAAAAUUUGAAAUUCUGAACAUUUUUUAAAAAUUUAAACAUAUCUAGACGUGGUCUGGUGGGUGGAGACGAGGGUCAGGGCCAGCAUGGCUGCCUCCAUGCACCUUGUCUGGGGUACCCUGUGCAUGAGAUGGGCAUGGCUGAGGACCCUUUUAUGCAUCAGAUGGGCAUAGCUCAGGUGAGUCCAUACACCCUACCAAACAAGCAAAAGUGGGUCGGAUUGAAAACUUUUGCCCUCAUGCACCCUACCAAACACACCCUAAGGAGUUGUUUGGAUAUCGAGAAUUAGAUGCUAGAUUUUGGAAAACCAAUUUUAAGAUAAUUUUAGGGAAACCAGUUUUAAUUAGUCAUUCUUUUAAGAUAAGUAUAUACAAUUCCUUGAACAACAAAGAAGAGUAAAAUGGCCCUCCGGCGUGCGGCUGUUGAAGCCGUCAUCAUGGGCACCGAGGAGGUCCCGUUGCUUGCGCCUGGAGCAACACGUUGCCGUCGACGUUUUCGUAAUCCUCGCCAUGGGCGCUGAGGAGGCCGAUCUGCUCGAGUCGAGAACAACGCGUCGCCGUCGAUGGUGUCGCAACCAUCGCCAUGGAUAUUGAGGAGGUCGCGCCGAGAACAACAUGCCGCGUCCAUGGUGUUGCAGCCGUCACCAUGGGUGCCUACUGACGAGGUGGUCGUGCUGCUCGCGUUGAGAACAACACGCCGCCGUCGAUGGUGUCAGGUAGAUGGUGUCGCAGAGGUUGCUAUGGACGUCUGGAACAACAUGCCGAUGUAAGGUUCUAGAAUACUUUUUUUUAGGACGGGCUCUAGGAUACAUGACCAAAAUUCAAGAAAAUCACAUUCAUUUUGACCAAAACGCAUGAAAAUUUCUCCCUCGGCCGCACUGUUUCAACCCCUAAGGCCCUAAAACAUGAAGCUUUUUUUUUGGUUUUGAGCGAUAACACAUGAAGCUGCAAGGCCGAAAGUUGACGACAAAAGAUUCCAAUAAUAUGACAACAACGCAGCCCAGUGCCCACCCGCACGACAGCAAACCAAAAAUUGCAGCCCAUUCGCAUCGGCCACAUUUUCCCCUUUAUCCUGACAGACGACACAAAAAUAUCUCCGUCGCUGCCGCCGCCGCCGGCAUGCUCCGCCUGCGAGAAUCCAUUGUUUCCCAUCUCCUCUCUUCACCCUCCGCCCCUGCCAUAUCCCCACUCCGUCGCCUCCUCUCCGCUGCCGCGGCCGCCAUUUCUCCGAACCCCAGUGGAUUCGCCGUCGAGGACUACCUCGUCGAUAUCUGCGGCCUCACCCGACCUCAAGCCCUCAAGGCCUCCCCGAAGCUCUCCCACCUCAACUCCCCCGCCAACCCCAACGCCGUCCUCGCCUUCCUCUCCGGCCUAUCAUGUGUUCAGAUUUUAAGGGUCAUCUGGGAAGUGGGAUUUGCCGGCACUCCACCUUCAGAUACGUGGACAUGGGCCAAUGCAGCCUGCCAAGAUGGUGCUCAGUGAGAUCAAACUUCUUCCACCAAGAAGAGCAUGCGGCCUCAGAGCAUAAUUGGUUACUACUUGGUAGGUUACCGAGUUGUCUUGCCUAUCUCACAUAUAGUUGCCAAUAGUUGGCAAGUAUUGGCAAUGCCAACUUUUGGCUAGCCAAAUAUUCUCUGCUCACACUUUUUUGUUGUUGAGAAUUACUCCUCAAUUUAUCUGGUAGAUUUCCUUUUGUUAGUAGGAAAUCGAUCUAUUUUAAUGUGAUUUAGAUAUGCUUCUUCCAGUCAUUGGUUGAUUUCGUUACUGAAAUCUGCACUUCUCUUUGUGUCAUUGCUUCAUUCCGUCCAAUAGUUUGUAAACAACUGGAACAAUAUCAUGGAAAAGAUUAGUGUCCUGGUUAUAUUGUGCAUCUCUUUUAUGUGGUCCUGUUUUUUGCUUGCCGUCUUGUUUACUGAUUCUUUGUUAGUGCUCCUUUGCAUUGCAAUCUGGUGCUUCGGUUGUCAGAUGCCGCUGUUUGUGAUCUUGUAACAGAUUUCCGCGGUGUUGCUUAAUUUGCCCCUGGUGUUUUCUGUUGUUUCCAUACAGGUUAAAUAGGGAGUACGUACUUGUACAAAUGAAUUUACUGUUUUAAUCCGUUAAAAAAAACUGUUUUAAUUGCUGCCACAGUAAAGUUGCUGUGUAGGUAAUGGUCACAGCAGAUUUGAAGAGCAUAGGUUUUCUAUUUGCAUGAUCUUACUUGUAUAUAGUAGACCUGGAGAUAGACAGCCUUGGGCACGAAACUGGAGAGUGCCUUAAUACACACAAGCUAGUGAAUUCCACGGUCUUAAUUUUCAUCCGAAUUUUAAUCAGUGGUGUUGAUAUUUGAAGCUAGGCUCGGGCUUACUCAAAUGGUAGUGAGGUUCGGUGAUCCUUUACAUACAUUGCAUAAAUGCAGAAUGGUAGAUACACUGUUAUGGAUUUUUAGGAUUUCAACUGCUGUUUAUAUCCCUGAGUGGCUAAUUUCAAAUUCAAAUCGAGAUCCAGAUAGUUACCUGCUCAUAAGCUGCAGGUACUAAUUGCCAUCUUCAUACUGGGUCUGUUGAGUUGUGAGCUACUCCCUCCGUCCCAUAAUGUAAGACGUUUUUUGACGCUACACUAUGUGCCAGUUAUCUCUGAUUUUUUUCUGUAAUCAUCCAAUAUUUUUGCUCCGCCACCUUGCUUUACAUUUCCACUGCAGCAGUGACCAUCAGACCUCGCGGGCAGGAAAUUUCCAUGUGUUUUUGGCAUUGUGAAUGGUUUUGUUCUGAUAUGAAACGUGUAACCGUAGUCCUGAAAGUUUCUGAAAUUGUUGCUACUUUAACACUGUCUGUUUCUUGCGUUGCUAUUCUGAACUUUAUUAUUUCUUUGUAAAUGUGAUGCUCUUUCUGAACAUUUCCAAAGCAUUAGUCCGUGUUAAUUUGCUAAGGAGGUGUAGUAUAUUCAGGGGCGCAGCAAAGUUCCAAACUUAAAUGCAACAACACCCAGCAUCGAAACAUUCAGUGCCUCAACAAAUUCAGCUUAAUUAGUGUCGCACAUACAUUUACAAACUCUUACGCAGACUGAGAUAUGUAGUAUCCAUUGAAAAACAAAACUCCAGAAACUAAAUAAACAGAGGAAAUAAUAUAGUGAUAAUAAAUACACAAGGGAAAUGAUACUGAUGAAAACAUAAAUUAAGACAGAAAUCAAUCAAGUUAGAGACUGCAUUCUAACAGAAGGUUGUCUUGGGUGCACCAGGGCUGCGCUCUUGAAGGCAGACUCCACAUCAACAAGCACAUGUUGAAUUUUUUUGCUGGAGUCCAUGACGCUGUUGAUGAGACACAUAGGGAUGUCCUGGAGGCAGGGCAAACAUUCCAUGUCGGCGAAUUCCACGGUGAGCGUCCGUGCCUUGGGCAUAGCUCCUGUCUCGAAGCUCAGGCAUGCUGUGACAUCUUCAUCAAAUCGGAACUCAAAGUACUCCAAAACUAGGAACAAUCCCGUGCCGACCACCACUUUUUCUUGGGAGACAUCCAACACGUGGAUCCUGGCAUUGACCAUGAAGGGAAGCUCUCCAAGAAAAUGAACCUCAUCACUCGAAAGGUGCAAGACACACAGAUCGAGGACUCUGAGACAACACUUAGCUCAUGAAUCCAUUUGGGAACUCUAUCGAACUUCCAUUUUGCUAGAUUGAGUACCUCGAGAUGCGGCGGCGGAUCGGGCAAUGACUCCAGCUGCCUAGCAUUGUCAUAACAUUCACGAUGGCAAUCGAGGCAGAGGUGUUUGAUGUCUUGGAGCGUUCCAAUGGAGGAGACAAAAGCAUCGACUUGUUCAACCAUCCAAUGGUAAACGUCAACACCUUCAGAUUGGUCAACUCACUGAAAUCUUCGGCAUGUCCCAACAAUGCAGGGUGCAGAGUGAUUUCAUCUUCUGGACCCCUUUAGGCAGCGUUGUACCAAUUGGAAGUUCUAGAUGAAAUAGGUUGGCCAAGCGAGUUAUAUCUGAAGGAAAACUUUGUGCAGAUCGACAAACCAACUCCAGAGUUUCCAAAUGCACAAGUCCUUGGAUUUCAGCAGGGAGCGCUACAUGUGUUAAUCUGGCUAAAAUCUUCAAAAAUACCUUAGAAGAAACAAAUGGCCAAUUGCAGUGAGGUCAACUGUCGUAUACCACUGAUCUAGAAAUUCAAACAAAAGCACUAGUAGGUACUUGAACUGUGAAAGAUGAGGUAUGUACAUGGACUCCCUGAACCAUGCACAUGACCGAACUUGUGAAAUGCUAGUAGCAAGGGUCUUUGAUGUUGCACCACAUUCGAUGCCGACUGGUGUGGCGCCUCUCCACUCCGCGCAACCGAAUUCGACGGUGAGCGUCUCUACCUUGGGCAUAGCUCCUGCCUCGAAGCUCAGGCAUGAUGUGACAUCUUCAUCAAAUCGGAACUCAAAGUACUCCAAAACUGGGAACAACCCCGUGUCGACCAUCACUUUUUCUUGGGAGACAUCCAACAUGUGGAUCCUGGCAUCGGCCAUGACGGGAAGCUCUCGAAGAAAACCCAUAUUGACCCCUAUACACACACGGAUAAUUAUUCAAGAGAGCCUCCAGUUGUCGUGUGCUAUUCCUGUUGCUUCACGAUAUAUUACAAACAACCGAGGUGAGAUGUAUCGGCAUCCCCGUGGAUCAACAACUUGUCCACUAUGCCAGUUACCUCGUUACCAGUUUUGUUCUCUUUUCUCAUUUCCGUGUUCUGGCAUCCCUGUGAUCAAAUCACAUUAUGUCCGGCCAGGCAAUGAUGGAUACUAUAACACCGAGAGGGCCCUAAGAAUAUCUCUCCAUCAUCGGAGAAGCAAAUCCCAAUCUUGAGCUAUCUUGUUCCUUGUCAUACCUUUUCGUGAACCCGUAAGCCGUCGUAAUAGCCACCCAGUUACGGAUGACGUUUAACAAACCCCAAUGUUCACGAAGCAAGAACGAAGGAAUUCGACACUCUCAUGGUCUAAGGAAUUAUGCAAACAUUAAUUUUUUCUGUGUUAUUAACCAUUUAUUUGUGACCAAUGUAUCUCAUAGCAUAACAUCAAUUCGGGUCGAUUCAACACACGUGUUCUCCUAACAUUGUGCCCUCAAAAUUGCCGGCAUAGUCAUGCCCAUGAUCAGGAAAACAUGAUCAUCAUGCAAUACUUGAGCUAGUCUUAGAGGCAUGACUAGGAAUACAUUUUACCGUUUUAUUAUACCACACGUGCAUAUGAGUUUCCCUCCAAGCCUCGUUGAUAUUGCAAACUCGAGAAUCAUUGUAGUUAUAGCAUGGAACAUAAACAUCCAUUACAAACUUGAAGAUACAAAAUAAGUGUUGUUACUACCUCAAGGGCAUAUCUUCUACAGACUCCCACUUGCACUAGAGUCAUAAUCCAGUUACAUGGCUUCCCGAAUACCAAUGACUAUCUGGUGCUGCUCAUGCUUUGCUCGUGGUAGAGGCUUUGUCAUCGGGUCUGAUACAUUCAGAUCCGUGUGAACUUUGCGUACUUUCACUAAACCUGUUUUCGACAUGAUGUCGAAUGAGUUUAUAUUUGCGUUUAAUAUGUCUUGUCUUAUGGUGCGAAGAUGGCUCCCCUAGCCCGAGCCACGGUGACACUAUUAUCACAAUAGAUCUCCACCGGGUCCAGCGCACUUGGAACCACACCAAGGUAUUCAAGAAACUGCUUGAUCCAAACCGCCUCAUUGGAGGCUUCUGAAGCUACAACAUAUUCUGCUUCCGUCGUAGAAUCCGUCACAGUCUUUUGUUUGGAACUUUUCCAAUCAACUACACCACUCAAUAUGAAAACAUAGCCUAAUUGAGAUUUGAAGUCAUAUGGGUCAGUCAUGAAGCCUGCAUCAGUGUAACCACUUACAACGAGCUCUUCAUCACCUCGGUACACAAGGAGUAAAUCAUUGGUCCUUCUGAGGUACUUCAGAAUAUUUUUGACUGCGGCCCAGUGUUCCAAUCCUGGAUCACUUUGGUACCGGCUGCUAAGACUUAGCGCAGGAAACAUCUGGUCUUGUACAUAGCAUGGCAUACAUAAUGGAACCAACUACCGAAUCAUAUGGAACAUCAUUCAUUUGUACUCGCUCAUCGAGAGUCUGAGGACACUGAUUUUUGCAAAGCACUGUGCUAGGUGACAUGGGGGGUAGGCCUUUCCGUACCUCUUAUGUUUAAGGUCCCUAAGGUGGUCAAUCAGUGGCGGAUCUUAGUAGAAGUCUGAGGGGGCCGUGCCACCCCCGCCCCCAGCCUUAGGCAAAAAAUUGAAGAAAAUUUACUAUGCAGGGCUUAGAUAAGGAAAAAGUCAAUUAUUUACCCUGCUAAUUGUUCAUAUUUUGGCUUUGGCACCCUAAGAUUGCUAUCUAGCUCUGCCACUGAGGUCAAUAAUGUCUUGUAGCUCGUGAGCAUGAGAAGAAUCCGCCAUCUGAAGAUUUAAUUCCAGGCCACAGAGAAGGUUCUGCAAAUCUGGUCUUUGGGUGACUGAAAUAAAUGUCUCACAGUAAAACUAUUCUCUAAUCUUAUCAUACACUUGUUUGGCAAGCGUAGUUUUACCCAAGCCUCCAGAACCCAAGAUGGAAACCAGUUAGUUUCUUCUGUGAAUCUGUCAACCAACUGACAAGCUCUUCUCUCGGGCCAUCAAUACCGACGAGACCUACCUGCUUGAAGAUCGUUGACACCUGAGGAUCCGCGACCACAUUGCCAUGACUCGAAUUGAUGCAAUUAUCAAUCUUGUAACGCUCGCGCUGAGCAUUUGCCUCCACCACAAGAACCUUGAGCUCCUCGAUCCGAUUGACAAUCUGAUGACGCCUCCCCAACCUCUUGAGACGUUGAGACAUCUUCGUGACAAAACCUUUCUUUACAUGGGCACCCUCAUUGUGAUGAGGGAAGUCAUUGAUGCAAUUCUCCAUAUCAUAAGACAUCUCCCUGACAUGGUCCCUCCAGUUCUUGGCCGAGGGACCGAGCUCAUCCAUUAGCUCCAUUUUGUCAAGGAGAGCUUUCAUGGUGCAGAGCUCAUCCUUGAAGAAGGUGUUGGGGAACGUAGUAAUUUCCAAAAAUUUCCUACGCACACACAGGAUCAUGGUGAUGCAUAGCAACGAGAGGGGAGAGUGUUGUCCACGUACCCUCGUAGACCGAAAGCGGAAGCGUUAGCACAACGCGGUUGAUGUAGUCGUACGUCUUCACGAUCCGACCGAUCAAUUACCGAACGCACGGCACCUCCGAGUUCAGCACACGUUCAGCUCGAUGACGUCCCUCGAACUCCGAUCCAGCCGAGCUUUGAGGGAGAGUUUCGUCAGCAUGACGGCGUGGUGACGAUGUUGAUGUUCUACCGACGCAGGGCUUCGCCUAAGCACCGCUACGAUAUUAUCGAGGUGGAUUCUGGUGGAGGGGGGCACCGCACACGGCUAAGAGAUCAAUGAUCAAUUGUUGUCCCUCCAAGGGGUGCCCCCCUCCCCGUAUAUAAAGGAGUGGAGGAGGGGGAGGGCCGGCCCUCUCUAUGGCGCGCCCUAGGAGGAGUCCUACUCCCACCGGGAGUAGGAUUCCCCCCCUUCCAAGUAGUAGGAGUAGGAGUCAAGGAAAGGGGAGAGAGAAGAGAAGGAAGGAGGGGGCGCAGCCCCUCCCCCUAGUCCAAUUCGAACUAGGCCUUGGGGGCGCGCAGCCUCUACUCUCUCUUUCCCCUAAAGCCCAAUAAGGCCCAUAUACUCCCCGGCGAAUUCCCGUAACUCUCCGGUACUCCGAAAAAUACCCGAAUCACUCGGAACCUUUCCUAUGUCUGAAUAUAGUCGUCCAAUAUAUCAAUCCUUACGUCUCGACCAUUUCGAGACUCCUCGUCAUGUCCCCGAUCUCACCCGGGACUCCGAACUACCUUCGGUAUAUCAAAACACAUAAACUCAUAAUAUAACCGUCAUCGAACUUUAAUCGUGCGGACCCUACGGGUUCGAGAACAAUGUAGACAUGACCGAGACACGUCUCCGGUCAAUAACCAAUAGCGGAACCUGGAUGCUCAUAUUGGCUCCCACAUAUUCUACGAAGAUCUUUAUCGGUCAAACCGCAUAACAACAUACGUUGUUCCCUUUGUCAUCGGUAUGUUACUUGCCCGAGAUUCGAUCGUCGGUAUCUCAAUACCUAGUUCAAUCUCGUUACCGGCAAGUGUCUUUACUCGUUUCGUAAUACAUCAUCCCGCAACUAACUCAUUAGUUACAAUGCUUGCAAGGCUUAUAGUGAUGUGCAUUACCGAGUGGCCCAGAGAUACCUCUCCGACAAUCGGAGUGACAAAUCCUAAUCUCGAAAUACGCCAGCCCAACAAGUACCUUCGGAGACACCUAUAGAGCAACUUUAUAAUCACCCAGUUACGUUGUGAUGUUUGGUAGCACACAAAGUGUUCCUUCGGUAAACGAGAGUUGCAUAAUCUCAUAGUCAUAGGAACAUGUAUAAGUCAUGAAGAAAGCAAUAGCAACAUACUAAACGAUCGAGUGCUAAGCUAACGGAAUGGGUCAAGUCAAUCACAUCAUUCUCCUAAUGAUGUGAUCCCAUUAAUCAAAUGACAACUCAUGUCUAUGGUUAGAAACUUUAUCAUCUUUGAUUAAUGAGCUAGUCAAGUAGAGGCAUACUAGUGACACUAUAUUUGUCUAUGUAUUCACACAUGUAUUAUGUUUUCGGUUAAUACAAUUCUAGCAUGAAUAAUAAACAUUUAUCAUGAAAUAAGGAAAUAAAUAAUAACUUUAUUAUUGCCUCUAGGGCAUAUUUCCUUCAGUCUCCCACUUGCACUAGAGUCAAUAAUCUAUUUCACAUCGCCAUGUGAUUUAACACCAAUAGUUCACAUCACCAUGUGAUUAACACCCAUAGUUCACAUCGUCAUGUGACCAACACCCAAAGGGUUUAUUAGAGUCAAUAAUCUAGUUCACAUUGCUAUGUGAUUAACACCCAAAGAGUACUAAGGUGUGAUCAUGUUUUGCUUGUGAGAGAAGUUUAGUCAACGGGUCUGCCAUAUUCAGAUCCGUAUGUAUUUUGCAAAUUUCUAUGUCAACAAUGCUCUGCACGGAGCUACUCUAGCUAAUUGCUCCCACUUUCAAUAUGCAUCCAGAUUGAGAUUUAGAGUCAUCUGGAUCAGUGUCAAAACUUGCAUCGACGUAACCCUUUACGACGAACCUUUUUUCACCUCCAUAAUCGAGAAACAUAUCCUUAUUCCACUAAGGAUAAUUUUGACCGUUGUCCAGUGAUCUACUCCUAGAUCACUAUUGUACUCUCUUGCCAAAAUCAGUGUAGGGUAUACAAUAGAUCUGGUUCACAGCAUGGCAUACUUUAUAGUACCUAUGGCUGAGGCAUAGGGAAUGACUUUCAUUCUCUUUCUAUCUUCUGCCGUGGUCGGGCUUUGAGUCUUACUCAAUUUCACACCUUGUAACACAGGCAAGAACUCUUUCUUUAACUGUUCCAUUUUGAACUACUUCAAAAUCUUGUCAAGGUAUGUACUCAUUGAAAAAACUUAUCAAGCGUCUUGAUCUAUCUCUAUAGAUCUUGAUGCUCAAUAUGUAAGCAGCUUCACCGAGGCCUUUCUUUGAAAAACUCCUUUCAAACACUCAUUUAUGCUUUGCAGAAUAAUUCAACAUUAUUUCCGAUCAACAAUAUGUCAUUCACAUAUACUUACCAGAAAUGUUGUAGUGCUCCCACUCACUUUCUUGUAAAUACAGGCUUCACCACAAGUCUGUAUAAAACUAUAUGCUUUAAUCAACUCAUCAAAGCGUAUAUUCCAACUCUGAGAUGCUUGCACCAGUCCAAAGAUGGAUCGCUGGAGCUUGCACAUUUUGUUAGCACCUUUAGGAUUGACAAAACCUUCUAGUUGCAUCAUAUACAACUCUUCUUUAAUAAAUCCAUUAAGGAAUGCAGUUUUGUUUAUCCAUUUGUCAGAUUUCAUAAAAUGCGGCAAUUGCUAACAUGAUUCGGACAGACUUAAGCAUAAAUACAAGUGAGAAACUCUCAUCGUAGUCAAUACCUUGAACUUGUCGAAAACCUUUUGCGACAAUUCUAGCUUUGUAGAUAGUAACACUACUAUCAGCGUCCGUCUUCCCCUUGAAGAUCCAUUUAAUCUCAAUGGCUCGCCUAUCAUUGGGCAAGUCAAUCAAAGUCCAUACUUUGUUCUCAUACAUGGAUCCCAUCUCAGAUUUCAUGGCCUCAAGCCAUUUUGCGGAAUCUGGGCUCAUCAUCGCUUCCUCAUAGUUCGUAGGUUCGUCAUGGUCAAGUAACAUGACCUCGAGAACAGGAUUACCGUACCACUCUGGUGCGGAUCUUACUCUAGUUGACCUACGAGGUUCGGUAGUAACUUGAUUUGAAGUUUCAUGAUCAUCAUCAUUAGCUUCCUCACUAAUUGGUGUAGGUGUCACAGGAACCAGUUUCUGUGAUGAACUACUUUCCAAUAAGGGAGCAGGUACAGUUACCUCAUCAAGUUCUACUUUCCUCCCACUCACUUCUUUCGAGAGAAACUCCUUCUCUAGAAAGGAUCCAUUCUCAGCAACGAAUAUCUUGCCUUCGGAUCUGUGAUAGAAGGUGUACCCAAUUGUCUCCUUUGGGUAUCAUAUGAAGACACAAUUCUCCGAUUUGGGUUUGAGCUUAUCAGGAUGAAAACUUUUUCACAUAAGCAUCGGAACCCCAAACUUUAAGAAACGACAGCUUAGGUUUCUUGCUAAACCAUAGUUCAUACGGUGUCGUCUCAAUGGAUUUAGAUGGUGCCCCUUUUUUAUGUGAAUGCAGCUGUCUCUAAUGCAUAACCCCAAAACUAUAGUGGUAAAUCGGUAAGAAACAUCAUAGAUUGCACUAUAUCCAAUAAAGUACGGUUAUGACGUUCGGACACACCAUUAUGCUGCGGUGUUCCAGGUGGCAAGAAUUUGUGAAACUAUUCCACAUUGUUUUAAUUGAAGACCAAACUCGUAACUCAAAUAUUUGUCUCCACGAUCAGAUCGUAGAAACCUUAUUUACUUGUCACGAUGAUUUUCCACUUCACUCUAAAGUUCUUUGAACUUUUCAAAUGUUUCGGACUUAUGUUUCAUCAAGUAGAUAUACCCAUAUCUGCUCAAAUCAUCUGUGAAGGUCAGAAAAUAACUAUACCCGCCGCGAGCCUCAACACUCAUCGGACCACAUACAUCAGUAUGUAUGAUUUCCAACAAAUCUGUUGCUUGCUCCAUUGUUCCGGAGAACGGCGUUUUAGUCAUCUUGCCCAAGAGGCAUGGUUCGCAAGCAUCAAGUGAUUCCAAAAGCCCAUCAGCAUGGAGUUUCUUCAUGCGUUUUACACCAAUAUGACCUAAAUGGCAGUGCCACAAAUAAGUUGCACUAUCAUUAUUAACUUUGCAUCUUUUUGGCUUCAAUAUUAUGAAUAUGUGUAUCACUACGAUCGAGAUCCAACAAACCAUUUUCGUUGGUGUGUAUGACCAUAGAAGGUUCUAUUCAUGUAAACAGAACAACAAUUGUUCUCUAACUUAAAUGAAUAACCGUAUUGCAAUAAACAUGAUCAAAUCAUAUUUAUGCUCAACGCAAACAUCAAAUAACACUUAUUUAGGUUCAACACUAAUCCCUAAAGUAUAGGGAGUGUGCGAUGAUGAUCAUAUCAAUCUUGGAACCACUUCCAACACACAUCGUCACUUCACCCUUAACUAGUCUCUGUUCAUUCUGUUACUCCUGUUUCGAGUUACUAAUUUUUAGCAACCGAACAAGUAUCAAAUACCCAGGGGCUACUAUAAACACUAGUAAGGUACACAUCAAUAACAUGUAUAUCAAAUAUAUCUUGUUCACUUUGCCAUCCUUCUUAUCCGCCAAAUACUUGGGGUGGUUCCGCUUCUAGUGACUAGUCCCUUUGCAGUAGAAGCACUUAGUUUCAGGCUUAGGUCCAGACUUGGGCUUCUUUACUUAAGCAGCAACUUGCUUGCCGUUCUUCUUGAAGUUCUCAUUCUUCCCUUUGUCCUUUCUCUUGAAACUAGUGGUCUUGUCAACCAUCAACACUUGAUGUUUUUCUUAAUUUCUACCUUCGCCGAUUUUAGCAUCGCGAAGAGCUUGGGAAUUGUUUUCGUCAUCCCUUGCAUAUUAUAGUUCUUCACGAAGUUCUACUAACUUGGUGAUGGUGACUAGAGAAUUCUGUCAAUCACUAUUUUAUCUGGAAGAUUAACUCCCACUUGAUUCAAGCGAUUGUAGUACCCAGACAAUCUGAGCACAUGCUCACUGCUUGAGCUAUUCUCCUCCAUAUUUUAGCUAUAGAACUUGUUGGAGACUUCAUAUCUCUCAACUCGGGUAUUUGCUUGAAAUAUUAACUUCAACUCCUGGAACAUCUCAUAUGGUCCAUGACGUUCAAAACGUCUUUGAAGUCCCGAUUCUAAGCCGUUAAGCAUGGUGCACUAAACUAUCAAGUAGUCAUCAUAUUUAGCUAGCCAAACGUUCAUAACGUCUGCAUCUGCUCCUGCAAUAGGUCUGUCACCUAGCGGUGCAUCAAGGACAUAAUUCUUCUGUGCAGCAAUGAGGAUAAUCCUCAGAUCACGGAUCCAAUCCGCAUCAUUGCUACUAACAUCUUUCAACUCAGUUUUCUCUAGGAACAUAUCAAAAUAAAACAGGGGAGCUAAACGCGAGCUAUUGAUCUACAACAUAGAUAUGCUAAUACUACCAAGAAUAAGUUCAUGAUAAAUUUAAGUUCAAUCAAUCAUAUUACUUAAGAACUCCCACUUAGAUAGACAUCCCUCUAAUCCUCUAAGUGAUCACGUGAUCCAAAUCAACUAAACCAUGUCCAAUCAUCACGUGAGAUGGAGUAGUUUCAAUGGUGAACAUCACUAUGUUGAUCAUAUCUACUAUAUGAUUCACGCUCGACCUUUCGGUCUCAGUGUUCCGAGGCCAUAUCUGUUAUAUGCUAGGCUCGUCAAGUUUAACCUGAGUAUUCCGCGUGUGCAACUGUUUUGCACCCGUUGUAUUUGAACGUAGAGCCUAUCACACCCGAUCAUCACGUGGUGUCUCAGCACGAAGAACUUUCGCAACGGUGCAUACUCAGGGAGAACACUUAUACCUUGAUAAUUUAGUGAGAGAUCAUCUUAUAAUGCUACCGUCAAUCAAAGCAAGAUAAGAUGCAUAAAAUAUAAACAUCACAUGCAAUCAAUAUAAGUGAUAUGAUAUGGCCAUCAUCUUCUUGUGCUUGUGAUCUCCAUCUCCGAAGCACCGUCAUGAUCACCAUCGUCACCGGCGCGACACCUUGAUCUCCAUCGUAGCAUCGUUUUCGUCUCGCCAACUUAUGCUUCUACGACUAUCGCUACCGCUUAGUGAUAAAGUAAAGCAUUACAGGGCGUUUGCAUUGCAUACAAUAAAGCGACAACCAUAUGGCUCCUGCCAAUUGCCGAUAACUCGGUUACAAAACAUGAUCAUAUCAUACAAUAAAAUGUAGCAUCAUGCCUUGACCAUAUCACAUCACAACAUGCCCUGCAAAAACAAGUUAGACGUCCUUUACUUUGUUGUUGCAAGUUUUACGUGGCUGCUACAGGCUGAGCAAGAACCGUUCUUACCUACGCAUCAAAACCACAACGAUAGUUUGUCAAGUUGGUGCUGUUUUAACCUUCGCAAGGACCGGGCGUAGCCACACUCGGUUCAACUAAAGUUGGAGAAACUGACAUCCGCUAGUCACCUGUGUGCAUAGCACGGCGGUAAACCAGUCUCGCGUAAGCGUACGCGUAAUGUCGGUCCGGGCCGCUUCAUCCAACAAUACCGCCGAACCAAAAUAUGACAUGCUGGUAAGCAGUAUGACUUGUAUCGCCCACAACUCACUUGUGUUCUACUCGUGCAUAUGUCAUCUACGCAUAAAGCCUGGCUCUGAUGCCACUAUUGGGGAACGUAUUAAUUUCAAAAAAUUUCCUACGCACACACAGGAUCAUGGUGAUGCAUAGCAACGAGAGGGGAGAAUGUUGUGCAUGUACCCUUGUAGACCAAAAGCGGAAGCGUUAGCACAACGCGGUUGAUGUAGUCGUACGUCUUCACGAUCCGACCGAUCAAUUACCGAACGCACGGCACCUCCGAGUUCAGCACACGUUCAGCUCGAUGACGUCCCUCGAACUCCGAUCCAGCCGAGCUUUGAGGGAGAGUUUCGUCAGCACGACGGCGUGGUGAUGAUGAUGAUGUUCUACCGACGCAGGGCUUCGCCUAAGCACCGCUACGAUAUUAUCGAGGUGGAUUCUGGUGGAGGGGGGCACCGCGCACGGCUAAGAGAUCAAUGAUCAAUUGUUGUCCCUCCAAGGGGUGCCCCCCUCCCCGUAUAUAAAGGAGUGGAGGAGGGGGAGGGCCGGCCCUCUCUAUGGCGCGCCCUAGGAGGAGUCCUACUCCCACCGGGAGUAGGAUUCCCCCCUUCCAAGUAGUAGGAGUAGGAGUCAAGGAAAGAGGAGAGAGAAGAGAAGGAAGGAGGGGGCGCAGCCCCUCCCCCUAGUCCAAUUCGGACUAGGCCUUGGGGGGCGCGCAGCCUCUCCUCUCUCUUUCCCCUAAAGCCCAAUAAGGCCCAUAUACUCCCCGGCGAAUUCCCGUAACUCUCCGGUACUCCGAAAAAUACCCGAAUCACUCGGAACCUUUCCUAUGUCUGAAUAUAGUCGUCCAAUAUAUCAAUCUUUACGUCUCGACCAUUUCGAGACUCCUCGUCAUGUCCCCGAUCUCACCCGGGACUCCGAACUACCUUCGGUAUAUCAAAACACAUAAACUCAUAAUAUAACCGUCAUCGAACUUUAAGCGUGCGGACCCUACGGGUUCGAGAACAAUGUAGACAUGACCGAGACACGUCUCCGGUCAAUAACCAAUAGCGGAACCUGGAUGCUCAUAUUGGCUCCCACAUAUUCUAUGAAGAUCUUUAUCGAUCAAACCGCAUAACAACAUACGUUGUUCCCUUUGUCAUCGGUAUGUUACUUGCCCGAGAUUCGAUCGUUGGUAUCUCAAUACCUAGUUCAAUCUCGUUACCGGCAAGUCUCUUUACUCGUUUUGUAAUACACCAUCCCGCAACUAACUCAUUAGUUACAAUGCUUGCAAGGCUUAUAGUGAUGUGCAUUACCGAGUGGGCCCAGAGAUACCUCUCCGACAAUCGGAGUGACAAAUCCUAAUCUCGAAAUACGCCAACCCAACAAGUACCUUCGGAGACACCUGUAGAGCACCUUUAUAAUCACCCAGUUACGUUUUGACGUUUGGUAGCACACAAAGUGUUCCUCCGGUAAACGGGAGUUGCAUAAUCUCAUAGUCAUAGGAAUAUGUAUAAGUCAUGAAGAAAGCAAUAGCAACAUACUAAACGAUCGAGUGCUAAGCUAACGGAAUGGGUCAAGUCAAUCACAUCAUUCUCCUAAUGAUGUGAUCCCAUUAAUCAAAUGACAACUCAUGUCUAUGGUUAGAAACUUUAUCAUCUUUGAUUAAUGAGCUAGUCAAGUAGAGGCAUACUAGUGACACUAUAUUUGUCUAUGUAUUCACACAUGUAUUAUGUUUCCGGUUAAUACAAUUCUAGCAUGAAUAAUAAACAUUUAUCAUGAAAUAACGAAAUAAAUAAUAACUUUAUUAUUGCCUCUAGGGCAUAUUUCCUUCAGAAGGAGACCUGUUUCCUCACUCCCGUGAGCUUCUUGUACUCCUCGCCAAGCAGCGUUGUGAGCUAGCUAAGGAGAGGGUUCAUCAUUCUGGUCCUCGCACUUGCUGCCAUCCCGAUUGAGGAGGCUGGUGAGCUAGCUAUUUCUGUGUCGCAAGGCAAGUAAGCUGGGCUGGCAAAGAAAAGCUUAGUGUGGGAUGGUAUUAUCUAUACUCGGAGCUACCCCUACUAUAGGCUUAAAAAUUGUUUAACUGAUAUCAGUACUUCUAUAGAUUCAUGCCAAGAUUUGAAUACUCUAACCAUGCAUUGGAAAGCAUAUCUAAGCCAUUGGGUUCAAGUGUAUAACUUUUUCUUUUUCUUUUGAGUGGACCUCGUACGUUCUCGUGGCCAAAUGUAUAACAUGAUGCCAUAGCAGCAUAUGACACAAAGCGAGACCCUUUGCAUAGGAAUCUUAGCUAUUUUACAAAACAAAAUCAAGAACAACAACAACAAUAUGGAUGCGCUGAUUGCGGUGCCUGGCGCGAGUGCCUUUGUCAUGAAGGUACUCGAGGCCUGAUGAUUUUCAUCAUGAUGGAAGAUGCUGAACCUUCUCGACCAAACGUUGAAGGCUUUCCAAUAUGGUUGGAAUGAUUUUUUUGAGGGGGUGGGGGUGGGGGGUCCUUACAAAAACACCCUUACAGAAAUCGAGAAAUUCAUCUUACAUCCACCGACGCCGCCUCUGGCCUGAAGCAAACUUGUUGAAACCCGAGAGCUUCUAGAAACAGUGGCCAGAGCAAACCAAAAGAUGCUGGCGACCGUGUUUUCCGGAGAAAAAAUGUCGUGGAUUUAUUUCAGGCUCUCCGGCGUUAUUUUCAUUUUUUCAGUGGUUUGGCGUGCCUGCCAACUAUGAGAUGCGUAUAACGACUUUAUCAAUAUCAUGAUCUGCCAACUCAAUCUUUCUGAAGUACUCAUAGAGAUAGGGUUGUGUGCGCAUGUUCAUAAGGAUGAGUGUGUGUGCGUGUUGUGACCAGGCCGGUAUUGUGUUGUAAAGAUAAGAAUUCUUUAAGUACAAAGAAGGAGAAAAUCACUCCGUGAGAGAAGGGAGAGAAACUCCUUUCUUUUAACCUAUGAGAGGAAAAACUUAUUUAUAUUUUUUGAGGGGUAUAAAGCCAACUUUAAUUGAUCAAACGCCGCAGAACGUGGAAUACUUCUAUGAUCAUGGGGUUGACCUUGCUACACGUGGCGCCCCCAACCUAACGAAUGCGAAAGUUUGGCUAGACUAUGUGAUUUAUUGUUCAAAUCACAACCUUCGAAUAUAAUUUACAAUUAAAAAUUGAUGCUUGCAGUUGUAUCUCGCUCAUAAUGGGACCGUAACGUCCUUGAAUUUCCCUUGCUGAUAUGUCCCACUAUUUGCUUUGAAUCAGAAGCAACAAUAGUCGUUGAAGAAGAAGAAAAUAUUCCGCUAUGAAUAAGGCCUCCCUACAAUUGACCGCCUCGAGUGUUGUCAAACUGUUCUCUAAUCUUAUCAUACACUUGUUUGGCAAGUGUAGUUUUAUCCAACCCUCCUGAACCCAAGAUGAAAACCACUUAGUUUCUUCUGUGAAUCUGUCAACCAACUGACAAGCUCUUCUCUCGGGCCAUCAAUACUGAUGAGACCUACCUGCUUGAAGAUCGCUGACACCCGGGGAUCUGCAACCACAUUGCCAUGACUCGAAUUGAUGCAAUUAUCAAUUGUACCGCUCACGCCGAGCAUUUGCCUCCACCACAAGAACCUUGAGCUCCUUGUACCGGUUGGCAAUCUGAUGACGCCUCCCCAACCUCUUGAGACGUUGAGACAUCUUCCUGACAAAAAUUUUCUUUACAUGGGCACCCUCAAUGCGAUGAAUGAAGUCAUUGAUGCAAUUCUCCACAUCAUAGGACAUCUCCCUGACAUGGUCCCUCCAGUCCUUGGCCGAGGGAUUGAGCUCAUCCAUUAGCUCCAUCAUGUCAAGGAGAGCUUUCAUGGCGCUGAGCGCAUCCUUGAGGAAGGAGACUUGCUUCCUCACUCCCGUGAGCUUCUUGUACUCCUCGCCAAGCAGCGUUGUGAGCUUGCUGAGGAGAGGGUUCAUCACUCUGGUCGUCACACUCGCUUCCAACCCGAUUGAGGAGGCUGGUGAGCUAGCUAUUUCUGUAUCACAAGGCAAGUAAGCUAGGCUGGUAAAGAAAAGCUUAGUGUGCGAUGGUACUAUCUAUACUGGGAGCUUCCCCUACUAUAGACUUUCAAAAAUUGUUUAACUGAUACCAGUACUUCUAUAGAUCCAUGCCAAGAUUUGAAUACUCUAACCAUGCAUUGGGAAGCAUAUCUAAGCUAUUGGGUUCAAGCGUAUAACUUCUUCUUUUGAUUUUGUGUGGACCUUGUACGUUCUCGUGGCCAAAUGUACAACAUGAUGCCAUAUCAGCACAUGGCACAAAGCAAGACCCUUUGCAUAGGAAUCUUAGCUAUUUUACGAAGCACCUGUCCGUAUUUUGUUGUAAAGAUAAGAAUUCUUGAAGUACAAAGAAGGAGAAAAUCACUCCGUGAGAGAAGGGAGAGAAACUCCGUUUUUUAACCUGUGAGAGGAGAAACUUACUAAUAUUUUUUGAGGGGUAUAAAGCCAAGUUUAAUUGAUCAAACGCCGCAGAGCGUGGAAUACUUCUCUGAUCAUGGGGUUGAUCUUGCUACACAUGGCGCCCCCAACCCAACGAAUGCGAAAGUUUGGCUAGACUAUGUGCUUUAUUGUUCAAAUCACGACCUUCGAAUAUAAUUUACAAUUAAAAAUUGAUGCUCGCAGUGGUAUCUCACUCAAAAUGGGACCGUAACGUCCUUAAUUUCACUUGCUGAUAUCUCUCCCACCACUUGCUUUGAAUCACAAGCAACAAUGAGUCGUGGAAGAAGAAGAAAAUAUUCCGCUAUGAAUAAGGCCUCCCUACAAUUGACCGCCUUGAGUUUUUUUUGAGACAAACUGCAAAGCUUUAUUACGUCGUCACAAUGUUUACAGGGACGAAAACAAGAUCGUUGGGCUGGUCUAACCAAACAUGGCGGCCAACCCCGAGGGAUAAAGCGUGCUUUGCUAGUUUGUGAGCCUCGAUAUUCGAGCUCCUAAAUUCAUGAAGUAUAUUACAAGCCUCAAAUUCAGACCUAUGUUGUAUGAUUUCAUGUGCAAUUGCCCCGUAGCUUCCUUUGUUGUGCUGUUGAAUGUCGUCGACUGCCACUUUACAAUCCGAAGCAACAUGUACCCUCCUGACAUAUAUGUCAUCUGCCAAUGCCAAAGCCUCCCUGAUUGCGAGCAUCUCCAAGGUUCCGGGGUCUGAGAGAUGGGAGAAAACCACCGCCGAAGCUCCCAAGAAGGCUCCGUCUUGGCCUCUACAGAUUGCUCCCGCUGCACCCCGCGCCCGGCCUACUGCAGCAUCUACAUUGAUUUUGACCAACCCCAAUGGCGGUGCAAUCCAGUUAUUAAUUCGAGGCUGUGGCACCCUAACCCCAGCGACAUUCGGCUUCUGGAUAGCCUUGAGAUCUGCUAUGUAAGAAUUUAUAAACCCAUUGAUGGCAUAAGGUGUCUGAAAGAUAUCCUCGUGUAUUGCCUUCCUUCGGGCGCCCUAUAGUGCCCAUAGGGUGACGACGAAGACUAGGAAAUCAUCUUGGUUGAGCGCUUCGUGCAUGACGAACAACCAUCUUUUUGCGUUUUCCUCAAUGCAUGUGCUCAUCUUGUCAAGGAUCGCCUCUGAAGACAGCGCCCAGGUGCUCCUGGAGACCGAGCAAUCCACAAGGGCAUGGCGCCAGGUGUCAACAGCCCCACACAGACAGCAAGCUCGUGAGGAUGACAUAUUUCGAUGGUUGAGUAGCGCUGCUGUGGGGACAGAAUGCUUGGCGAGUCUCCAUAAGAAGAAUUUCAGCUUUGAGGGAACCUUGAUCCGCCACAGUUCGGUCCAACCCUGGUUAGCACCAAUGGAGCCGGAAGAGGAUCCAUCUUCAUACAACCAUGCCUCGCGACUUAGCUUCGUUCGCUGGAUCAUCCGGUAUGCCGAUCGUACGGUAAACAUGCCCUUCCUCUCCUCGGAACAAGCCCAAAAAUCGUCAGUCUGGCGUGUACAAAGGGGUAUUUGCAAUAUUGCUGCUGCUUCGAUUGGUAUAAACACCGUCCGGACUAGAUCCUCCUUCCAGGAUGAUGAAGUAUGGUCUAUCAACUCAGCCACUGUAGUUGGUGGAUUCUGCACUAGAGAGGUGACCGGCUUCUUCAUGUUUGGCCUCGGCAACCAAUUAUCCUCCCAUAUAUUUGUCGAUUCACCGUCUCCGAUUCUACGCACCAGCCCCUGAACCAUGAUAUCCCGACCGUCCAAAAUAGCCCGCCAAAUCUGCGAGGGAUGAGACCCUAGUGUUGCGCCAAAUAUGUCCGAGUUAGGGUAAUAUACUGCUUUCAGGAUCCUCGCACUCAGAGACAGUGGGUUUUGCAACAUGCGCCAGGACUGCCGUGCUAGGAGGGCCAAGUUAAACAUCUCCAUAUCCCGAAAGCCAAGACCUCCAAGAUGCUUUGGCAGGGUCACCACGUCCCACGCCACCCAACUCGGUUUUCGUUUCCCAUGCUUGCUUCCCCACCAGAAUUGUCUGAUCAGCGAAGUAAUGCUUUCACAUAGACCCCGUGGCAGCCGGAAACAUGCCAUCGAAUAUACUGGAAUUGCUUGAGCCACCGCUUUAAUCAGUACCUCUUUCCCUGCUGAAGAUAAUAGCUUUUCCAUCCAUCCCUUAACCUUUUCCCAGACUCGGUCCCUCAAAUAUUUGAAGGUCCCGUUCUUCGAGUGACCGACCUCCGUUGGCAUUCCCAGAUACCUGUCACUGAGGGACUCGUUGUGCACAUUCAGAACAUUUUUCAUAUCAUCUCUUACCACUUGUGGGCAUCCUCUGCUGAAGAAAAUCGAAGACUUAUCAUGAUUUAUCCUCUGACCCGAAGCCAAGCAGUACGUUUCAAGUAGGUUUGAUACCGCUACUGCCCCCUCAUUCCCUGACUUAAAAAGCAGCAGGUUGUCAUCUGCGAAAAGAAGAUGGUUAACGGUCGGGGCCGUGGGUGCCACCUUUAGUCCAACAAUAUUUGAUGACGGAGAACUGGUUUUCAGGAGGCACGAAAGGCCCUCCGCUACAAUUAAGAAGAGAUAGGGGGAUAUCGGAUCUCCCUGCCUUAUACCUCUCCUCGGCAUAAACUGAUCAAGCCUUUCACCAAUUAAAAGCACUGAGAANNNNNNNNNNNNNNNNNNNNNNNNNNNNNNNNNNNNNNNNNNNNNNNNNNNNNNNNNNNNNNNNNNNNNNNNNNNNNNNNNNNNNNNNNNNNNNNNNNNNNNNNNNNNNNNNNNNNNNNNNNNNNNNNNNNNNNNNNNNNNNNNNNNNNNNNNNNNNNNNNNNNNNNNNNNNNNCAAAACCGAGUUUUCCCAUGAUUGCUUCCAAAUAGUCCCAUUCCAGCCUGUCAUAUGCUUUCAUCAUAUCAAGCUUAAGUGCACAAUAACUGUUAGCCGUAGCUUUGCUCCGCUUCAUAAAAUGAAGACAUUCAUAUGCACUGAUAAUGUUAUCCGUUAUGAGUCUGCCCGGUACGAAGGCCGAUUGCUCCUCAGAUAUGAUAUCCGGUAGAAUUUGCUUGAGCCUGUUUGCAAUGACUUUGGAGGCAAUUUUGUAUAGUACAUUACACAGGCUAAUAGGCCUAAAUUGGGACAAAACAGUGGGGUUUGUUACCUUGGGAAUCAGAACAAGGAUGGUGUCAUAUGCACUCCGAGCUCUCCUCCCCCCUCACAAUUCUCAACACUGCCUCAGUCACCUCUGUACCACAAAGCUCCCAGUGUCGCUGAUAAAAAUGUGCCGGAAAACCAUCCGGUCCGGGCGCCUUGGUCGGGAACAUCUGAAACAAGGCUGCCUUGACCUCCUCGUUUGCGUAUGGUGCACACAACAACUCAUUCGUCUCCGAUGUUACUUUCAUUGGGCCGCUGUCUAGGACAGUCUCCAUGUUGCUUACACCAUGAAUCACCAAGGCCGAGCUCCCAAUUCGAAGAGGUAAACCCUAUGGGGUGAAAAAAUGGGUCCAAUUAGAGCCCAGUGCUGAACCGAACGACAAGAACCGAAAAUGGCAGCCCAUUCUCACCGGCCCCUAUUUCUUUCCUUCCCCACACACCACACAAAAAUACCUCCGCCGCCGCCGCCGUCACUGCCGCCAGCGGCCGCAGCCGCGAUGCUCCGCCUCCGAGAGCGCAUCGUUUCCCAUCUCCUCUCUUUCUCCUCCACCUCUGGCCCGGCCAUCUCCCCUCUCCACCGGCUCCUCUCCGCAUCGGCAGCCGCCGGCCCCAUUUCCCCGAACCCCAGUGGAUUCGCCGUCGAGGACUACCUCGUCGACACCUGCGGCCUCACCCGCCCCCAAGCCAUCAAGGCCUCCAUGAAGCUCUCCCACCUCAAGACCCCCGCCAAACCCAACGCCGUCCUCGCCUUCCUCUCCGGCCUCGGCCUCUCCGGCGCCGACGUCGCCCCGGUUGUCGCCAAGGACCCGCAGCUCCUAUGCGCCAAAGUGGACAAAACCCUGGCUCCGGUGGUCGAUGGGCUCACCGGCCUCGGCCUGUCGCGUUCCGACAUCGCCCGCCUCGUCUUCCUCACCCCCGGCGGCUUCCGCCGUAGAGCCAUAGUCUCCAGGCUGCAGUACUACCUGCCCCUCUUCGGCUCAUUCGACAACUUACUCCGGCUGCUCAAGUGCGACUCCAACCUUCUCUCAAUCGACCUUGACAAGGUGGUCAAACCCAAUGUCGCGUUCCUGAGGGAGUGCGGGCUAGGUGAUUGUGAUAUUGCCAAGCUGUGUAUCCGUGUGCCGAGGUUGCUCACCACCAACCCGGAGCGCGUCGGGGCGAUGGUCGCAUGUGCUGAAACAUUAGGUGUGCCCCGUGGCUCUGGGAUGCUCAGGAAAGCGCUGCAGGCUGUCGCGUUUCUCAGCGAGGAGAAGAUUGCCGCCAAAGUGGACUACUUGAAGAAUACGUUCAGGUGGUCUGAUGCCGAAGCUUGCGUUGCUGUGCGCAAGUAUCCGAGUGUGUUGAGGAAGUCAAAGGAAUCUCUGAAGCGCAGGUCUGAGUUCCUGGUCUCUGAGGUGGGACUGGAACCCGUGUCCAUUGCUCAUCAACCGGUAGUUCUCAGUCUUAGCUUGGAGGGCCGGCUCAGACCCCGGUACUAUGUUAUAAAGUUUCUCAAGGAAAAUGGACUGCUACAUCGUGACCCGAGCUUCUUUACUGCGGUCAAGAUCACUGAGAAGGUAUUUGUGGAGAAACUCAUAUCCCCUCACAAGGAAGCUGCACCACACCUCGCUGAAGACUAUGCAACAGCUUGCAAAGGGGAAGCGCCAACUAAUUUCAUAUUUAGAUGGACCAGGAACAGGCUAUGAAAAUCCGUAACCUGUGUAUGGCGCAAGAAAGUUUUCACUCUGUGUAGUAAGUUGGUAACUCCUGCCUUGGUGUUUAGGCCUAACUGGAUGUUCACUAUCUUUUCUAGUGUGUUUGCUACUUGCCAGUUUGCUCAUUGCUAACUCUUGAUGUAACUAGUGAUAAAUUGAUUUCUGAACCCUGAUAGGCUGUUGUUGUCAUUCCUUAGAGAAGAUCCUUCAAAAUAUCAGUCUGGUCUGCUUUUAUGGCAAUUUUUAUCUAGCAUGUUC
This 46502-nucleotide long non-coding RNA is filed under the name Triticum aestivum (bread wheat). RNAcentral describes it as "long non-coding RNA (TAES_LNC012865)". Lineage: Eukaryota; Viridiplantae; Streptophyta; Magnoliopsida; Poales; Poaceae. The record is from RNAcentral.